RNAcentral lists this long non-coding RNA (72394 nucleotides) under Vitis vinifera (wine grape). RNAcentral's name for it is "long non-coding RNA (VVIN_LNC004836)". Lineage: Eukaryota; Viridiplantae; Streptophyta; Magnoliopsida; Vitales; Vitaceae. The record is from RNAcentral.
CGUGGUUUCAGCAGACCAGAGUACUCCAAGACGAUGGGCACUUGCUUAAGGAUUGCCAUUGAUUUCGCAAGUUGGUUGGAUGAGGAGAUCUGAGCAAGGAGCCAGAAUUCACCAUAGGUCACAGCAAAAGCUGAUAGGGUUAGCACCAGCUUUGCUUCCCAUGAAUAGCUUGUUAACAGGUCGAAUAUAGAGAGUGUUGUUGCAUGAGCGUCACCUCCGCCCAAACUCUUGUAUGCUAUCUGAAUACAUAAUUGAUUGACCACAUGUCAAUGUAAACAAACAAAUAAAACGUAGUCAUGCCAUGUGUAUAAUGCAUACGAGAUACGAGUUUUCUGUAUGCCAUUCUAAGAAAUGAAUUUUUGCAGUAGUUCUUUGUAAUAACCUGGCAGGCAAUUCGAUCAAUGGUAAAUGACAGUGCUUCGAGCAAAGCAAUGAAACUGGCUUGAUGAGUCCUAUCAUCAGAAGUUUCAAUGCGUGUUUGGGCAUCCUGCAAUGAAAUCACAAGUGGAUUAGCUACUAUAAAUGCAUAGAAAAUUUGUAUCUGCAUACCCUUUCGUCCAAGUAUCCUUCAGUAAUUAGGACUGUCAAUUGCAUGCUCUCACCUAACACAAGAAAAUAAAAUGUGGAGGUUCUGAUGUUCUUGAACUAAAUGAUUCCACCCCAUAAAAGCAGCUCAAGGAUUUGGAAAAAGAAGAGUGUUAUUGUGAAGGAGUUGAAAUUUUGAAAUAGAUUUUAUCUUCACAACAUAUAAUAGGAAAAAAGUAGACUUCCGGCAGUAAAAAGUUUGUUAUUCUGAAAAUAUUUUAGAUGUAGAUAAGUGACUAUAUGGCGUCAAACUUUCUAGUGUUGAUUUUGUGGAGAUAACAUGGGAGUUGGCUAGUUAGUGUGAUAUUGUGCUGGCUAGGAAUCCUUGGUUGGUAUAUGCAUUUACUUUUGUUUUGGCUAUCGAAAAAAAUGAACAAGGUCAAGAUAUUAAAAGCAGCCUGAACAAAAGAAACUGGCAAAAACAUUAGGCCUUUACUAAAUAAGAGGUUAUAGUAGUGUUAUACCGAAAUUAAGGGAUCAACACCCGGUGUAGCCCGAUUCAGGAUGUCUUCCACGAGUUGGAAAAGAGGCUUAACAUCAAACUCUCGGCCAUCAGGAGCAUGGGUUGCGUGAAUUUGUUUCAUCAUGAUGUUGUCAUCAGACAUGGUUAUCAUGCUCCUAUCAUGCCUGGUCAGUUGAUGUAAGGGAACUGGGUUGAUCUUGGUGGUUACUUCGUGCUGCAUUGGAGUUGGGUUGAUCACCUGCCGCGAACCUGGGUUCGCUUGCUGCAUUGAUGAUGGUUUCAUCAGUUGCUGCGUUGGAGUCGGGUCGAUCACUUGCGGCAUUGGAUUUGGGUUACUGAGUUUGUUGGUAGUCUCCAUUUUGUGUAUGCAAAGGAAGGCAAGUAACUAAGAUUUGAGGCAGAACGGAAGAGGAGAAGAUGGCUUGUGUUCCUUUUGCAGACUGCUUGCCCUUUAUAUACCCUUCACAAACGAAUAAAGCGAGCCUCACUGAAUCAACUUCUUUACUUCCUCCAUAAUUAAAAUUCAAAAACUUUGGACCAAGAUUUGCUUUCGUGACGCAUCUUCUUGUUUCUCGAUUUUAUUCUUUUGGGUGGUCCCGAAAGCAGCAGUUACUUCUGAAUCAAGAGAGAGCUCUGGGUCCCGCGAAUUUGGCACCAGAGAAUUUUCUUAUUCCUUGUAGAAUUCUUCAUCAAAACAUACAAACUGCGAACGCAACAACAAAAAUUCAAAACCUUGACGGUCUCAUUCUAUGGUGCUUUGAUAGAUCCACUUUAUACGGGGGCUUAUAGGAGUAUAGAAAUAAUAUUAUUUAUCUAUAUAAUUAAAAUUUUAUAUUAUGUUUGUAUAGAUGAAAAUUUAUUAAUUUGGUUUUUAUUUUCUCUUUUAAAAUUAUAGUUUUCAAUCAAUAAGAGAUUAAUAAUUUGUGUUUAUAAGAGUUGCUACACAAGUAAGAAAAUAAAAACUUAUGUAGAUUUAAUUUAUUUAUUUAUAAGUUAUCUUUAUUGUAGAAUAAUUUUUUUUUUUCAAAGGGAGAAGUAUGAAAUUCCAACAUGCAUGAGAAAAGAUGUUGGCGUGAUUUAAACUAUUAAGAAUUAAAGAUUUUAUUUUCUCUAUUUUUCUUAUGACUAUAUAUAUGUAUAAGCAAAAUCCAAAAAAGAAAUAUUAAAAAAAGUUAUUGAUAAAAGGGAUUAAUAGAUGAACAAUGUGAUUUUUUUCUAUAGUUUUUUUCUCUUCUUAUUUUUUAUUUUUUUUAUUUUUUUAUCUUGUUACAUUUAAAAAAAUAAUAUGAGAAAAUUUUAUAGUAGUUUCCCAAGUGUUGAGUUAGGUAAAUUAGUUCUUUUGUAAAUGUCAUUAGCCUAUGCUAAUUGAUUAAUCAUGAUAUUGCCUUUGCGAAACAAUUGCAUUUUUCCUACUUUAUGUUGUGAGUGUUAUUAUCCUUUGCCAAAUGACUUUUUUUUUUUGGCUUGAUGGCUCUUACAUUUUGGAACUCUUGAUGCAUGAAUUUCAUUCAUUCAUUUUGGUCAUCAUUGCUAAAAAUUUCAUCUUUCUUAGUUGAGUUCAUGACACCUAUUGUGAAUGUUAGUAUCUUUUAGUUUAGUCAAUACUUGGUUUAAUUUUAUCUUGAAUGAUCUAAACUACUUUUUAAAUGAAACAUAUGUAAUAAUUAGUAUGUAUAUCAUGAUAUUGAUUUAGAAAAAAAAAUGUAGUAAUAAUAUUUCUGAAUUUUCUAAUGUUAAAAAAGUUAAAGUACUAUCUAUGUUUUUCUUUGUAUGAUAGGGGCCUUAAAUCAAUUAAAGAUCUUGGUUAUUUCUCAAUGAUAAACAAUAUGUUUUUUCACAUGAAUUUUAUGUUAAUUAGCUUUUUGGAGGUUUAAGUUGAAACUAUUUUUCAUAAAACUUAUAUUUUGUCUAAAUUUUAGGGUAUUUGACAUUGAUAAUUGAAUCAAGUGACCUUUUGACCUUCAUUUUGAUGACUGUUUUAGGGUAUUCAAUCACACAAUAGAUUAGUUUAUUAUUUGUCUGAUUAUAAUUUCUUGUUGAACAAACUUAAAUAGCAUAUGCAGAAAACUGUGGUAGUACAUCGUAGGUGGAAGCUUUAAGAUAUAGCUUUAAGAUAUGUUCUUUUCUUGUUCAUAUGUUCCUCAAUAUUUUUUCUUUUAAUUUAUUGUAUUUUUAAUUUUUGUAUUCUAAUACCAAAAGAAUAGAGGCUUUUACUAGAGCUCAACCUCCAAGGAUGCCUAUGCACUUCUCCAGGAGGAAGUAUAACGAGUUGCAUCAAAGGAAUACUUUAUGUCUUAAGAUUCGAACAUAUGAUGUUUAUUAUGUAAACAAAACUGAUAAUCCUCAAGUAAUAUCAUUUUAAUGAGGCUAAAUGCAUUCUUCUAUUUCGACAUUAGCAUAUGAUGAUUAUAAUACCUUUUUCAAUCAGAUUUUGAGCCAACCUUUGGAAAAUCGAAUGUUUGCCCUUCGCUCUAGUUUUUGGUACUUAUAUGGUCAUUAUAGUGCUACUCUCCGAGUUCCAAUUGAAAGUUGAAGUCGCAAGGGAAGUGUUCAAAGUAACGAGAUUCUAUAAGCCAUGAAAUUAAGAGUGAGGAUCACCUCAUAGAAUCCACACCUAAUUAGCACUCUCGUGGAUGAGUGUGCAAAAAAACAAACAUGCACGAAAUUUGUCUAGAAAAAUUAGCAUCCCUAUAGCACUAGUGUAGAGUAAGAUAUAGAAAUUGGCAUCCUUUCCGAAGAUGUAUAGACUGCUUUGCCGAUUUCCAAUAUUUUUAGUUGUUGGGUAUAUUCAAAGCUCUAAAAAUUUAUCACCUCACCUAGUAUUGUUGAGCUUGUGACUAGGGAUAUAAGUACCUAUAUUGCAACUAAAAAACUUAACUCUUCUAUUUUAGAGGCCCUUUUUUUCCAUUCUCUAUUCAAGGGUUUAGAUUUCUUCAUUCAUUCUUUUUGUUUUAGCUUGAAUUAGUUUAGAAUUUAGCUUGAAUUUAGAUUUGUAUAUAUUCCAUCGUUCUUGCACAUUAUUUUUGUGUGUUUCUUUACAUUUCCUCUAUGCAUUUUGGCACUUCAAUAUUUUUGUUUAUGGAUAUAUUAAUGUUUAUCAAGUUUGAUUAGUUUUGUUGUACUAGGAAGAUGGCUCUUUGAUGGGUGAACUGUCAUGGUUGUUUUACACCAAACUAAUUUAGGUUUUGAUAAACAUCGAGAAAUUUCUUUCACUACAUGAUUUUGAGGAAGUUUAGAGGCAUUAUCUAUUAGUGUGCAAAAGUCACCUAAAUUAUGGUGAUGUCAAAUGCUAUAAAAGAUUAAUUUGACAUACUCUUAGAUAAAAUGGUCAAACCCAAUCCAAGAUUUUCAUAUUUUUCAUGCUUCAUAAUGACCUAAUUUUGUGCUAACUUGAUAUCCUCAACUUAUUUGAUGCUUUGUAGUGCUAGAUAAUCCUUUUGUAAGUGUUUCGAGAGAAUAAAAAAGAAUAUUGUACAUUACCUAGGAAAAUAGCAUAGAAGGGUUGCAAUGCAAAUUUGCUUUCCAUGAGAGAAGACCAUCUGAGCAGUAGUGUGAUGAACCAAGAAUUCAACUAAAAUAAUCAAUCAUAUGAUGGAAAAUUCUUAUGAAUUUUUCUAAAAAAACUAAGCAAUCAAAAGAGUUGAAUUCAAAAUAUUCAAACUAUCAACUUCUAUCACUUCUAACUCUUUUAAUUUUUCUAUCAAAUCGGUUUUCUACUUUGAGAAAAUAUUUAAUAUUUUUCAAUAAGUAAAUGUGAGUAUAAUUUGUAAAAUCAUUGAUAAAAGGGAUGAAAUAUUUGUUUCCUCCAUAAGUUAAAAUCACAUAAAUUUGUAUGUAUCAACCUAACAAUUUUAUUGUCUUCUUAACACUUUUAAGAUGCCUUUUUUUUUUUGGUGAUUUUGGUCAUAGAAAAUGUCUCAUAUUUUUUGAAGUCCUUUUUUGACAUUAAGAAUUAAUUCCAAACUAUUCAUGUUUCUCUUAAAUUUUCUACUUAUAUCAGGAAAUACGGGUAUGACAAACAUUUAAAGAAAAACACAUACAAACAAAACUAGAAGAUGUUUUAUUUUCGAUAUUCAAUUUAAACAUUUCAUCGUAAGCAUUACCAUUGCCUACAAAAAUCUCCCUGGUUAGAUUUCAUUGUUUGCUUAAACUUGGUUGAUUAAGUUAAUAUAAGAUUCUUGAUUAUGGAAUGAGUACAAACAUAAUGUUUAAAGGUCACAUCCUUCUAGAGGUGAAUUUUAACUUAACCUUACAGCUUCCAAAUAUUUGAGUAGUGUGUGAAUCAUUGAUCAUGAUUGUCUUAGGCUCCUUAAAAGAAGUGUAUACCUUGAACUAACCUAUCAAAUGGUAGACAUACCUAUUAGUACCAGAUUCUACCCUUAAAUCCUUCAACACUUUGAAACAUUUUAGUAAUCAUAGUCAUAAAUGACUCCUUAGUUGUUGAAAAGAUAGAAAGAAAUCCUUGAUAAGAAAGGGUUCAUCCUUGAUAAUCAUUAUGGACAAGUGUGAAUAAAGUUUCUAAGGACAUUUCCUUAUGUUUAUGGCACACAUUUUCCUCAAAUUCCUUCCAUAAUGGUGGUAAUUUGUAAAUGAUACAAAGAAAAUAAGGCUGCCACCAAUUUUGAUUAUUCCUUUAGAAAUGGAUUCAGAAAAUAAGAGUACUACUAUUCAGAAGUCUUGAACUUUAGUUUACAAUGGAUUUCCCUCCAAACAUCUAAUUAUGGAAAAGUUGACUAAUACUUAUUUACUUAUUUGCACUUGCUUUAAUGAUGUUGUUUCCACUUGCAAGGCUUUCCAAUUUUUUUCAAAGGAAAAUAGGUAGUGUCAUAAUAAUCAUAAAAAUGUUCAUCAAAACACAAUCCAAGAGAUAAUAUCAACAAUCACAUUCAUCUUUUUCAUAUCUCUCAAUCUCUAUUUCUUGCUCAUAGAGCUCAUCUUUAUUCCUAGAAUUAGUAGGGAUUACUUUUUGUGUUGUUCUUAGUAAGUGACUGAGAAGAUUGAGAUAGAACUUUUCUUUCUCACUUCACGUACUCCUUUGAAACAAAAAGGCCUUUUGAGAUCUCCAAUAUUCACAUAGAUUUUUGUAUUAAUGGGUUCCAAUUUUCUUACUUUCCUUAAAAUUGUUGCUAUAGGACUUUCAAAUAAUAAUAAAAAUACAAUAACAUUAAUUGAGUAGUAUACAGGAACAAUUUGGUUAAGAGAACAAAAAUCGUGAUUUCUCUAAAGAGAUUCAAAAUCUCAAUGAUUUGAUAAUUAAUGUUAGAAAUGCAUUACUAAAUUUUCUUAUCUUUUCUAAGAUAUAACAACCCAAUCUAAUCGGUGUAUAGCUGAGACUUAUUUACAUAUAUGGCAAAUCUUAAAGCUCCAUAAAAGCAAAAUCCUUCUUUGGCCAAGAAAAUAUUAAGAAGAAAAAAGAACAAAAAUGAAAUGCUUAUGAUACUUUUAUGAAAUGUUGAAGACUAGUUAUAAGUAAAUUAUGCCAAUCAAACUAUAAGAGAAAUGAUAAAAUUUCCUGUGGGGUGAAUCAAAAGUCUAUGUAAAGUAUUGAAACCUCUCAGUAACUCAUCAUGACAUUCAAUCUUUCUUAUUUUAGUUUUUACACAAGCAAGGAAUCAAAUUUUAAUUUUAGUUGAAGUCUAGUUCAAAUCUUAAUUGAUUAUUUUUAAGUUUAAUCUACAUAAAACAUUCCAAAUAUUCUUAUUUAAUUUUAUUUCUUAGCUACAUUUUAGCCUUAAAUUCUGAUGGUCCAUCAUAACCCAGAACUAUUCACUAAUUAAGAGUUAGGUCUUCUAGUGAGAGCCAUAGUUGCAAUUUUCAUGCUCACUCCUUGCUCUAAGUUGCUCUUUCCCAAAGAACCCACCCCCAGAAAAAUAUCGCUUGUUGGCUGUAGUUUCAACCUAAAACAAAGAAGGGAUAUUGAAAGAAAAUUGAAAAGUAACACCUAGAAACAAGGGAGUAAAAUAGUUCACCAAAAAAUAUUGGGUUUUAGAGGUUAUUGAGAUGGAGGUGUGUGCUUUUUCCGUUUCUUGCCAAUUUAUGAGCUAUGAGGAUAAUUUUGUAUUAAUUUUUACUAAGGAGGAUGGGCCUUUUCUUAGGGGGUAGAGAGAGGACUUUUGGGAAGAAUUGACUGACAUUAGAGGGUUUUGGACUGAUCCUUGGUGUGUCCAUGAAGGUGUCAAUAUGCUAAGAUUUUGAGGGAAAAAGAGGAAUUGUCCCAAGUGUUCAUCUACCAUGAGGUGUUUCUUGGACAUAACUAAGGAGAUUAAUUUGCAUGAUCUAACUCUAAUUAGAGGACCCUGUGCUUGGUGAGGAGGUAUAAAUAAUCAUUUUGCUUCAAGAUUAGAUUGGUUCCUUGCUUUGAAAGAUUAGAAUAGUCAUUUUGGUGAUAUUUUACUGAGCAUUCUAGUUGGAUCAAUGUUUGAUCUUGCCCCAAUUUUGUUAGAUGGAGAUGGGAAAAGGGGGAACAAAACUCAUUUUAGGUUUGAAAAUAUGUGCCUUAGAGCAAAAGCUUCAGAGAGUAAAUUAAUUUUGUUGUAGAACUCUUAGUAAUUGAAAAUAUGUUCGAAAAUAUGAAUUUCGAACUAUAAUCUCAUAUUUGAAUAUAAAUAAUUAGUUAUAACUAUUUAAUGGGGAAUCUAAAUGUUAUUCAAUAUCCCCUAUUUUCUAUUUAAUUCAUAUAUUUCUUUCUCUCUAUUUCUAGAAGUAUUCACUUAUAUAUAUUUUUUCUGAAAUUGUAAUUGAUUUUAGUUUUUUGUGCAUGUAGGCCAGCUUUUUGUGAAAUUAACCUUGUAGUUGGAUAAGCUAGCAUGAAGGAGUAUGUUAAAGACCAAAGCACAAUUGGGUUGCAUGUAAAGAAAUGGGUUGCAUGUAAAGAAAAAAUGAACUAUGUUAAGGAACUAAACAUUAAAGUUAUGAUUUUUUUUUUAAAUAUAUUUUAGCUUUUUUGUGUUUCUUAUUUAUGAAAUACAAGUUCUCUAUUUGUGAUUAAAUACUGCAAUUUGGAAAUGUAUUACCAGGUGAAAAAUUAGGUGCAACAACUAAUUUCAUUGGUACAUAAUUUUUUUUCUUAUGUGUAUGCAUUAUUUCAAUAGAAGGUGAAAAAUUAGGUGCAACAAUUAUUAAAUUAAAAUUAAAAAAUUUUCUUCCUUGAUGCUUUUACUAAGUGUCAAGGAAUGAGAGUAACCACCAGUAACAUUUAUACAAUCCAAUAAUGGCACUAAUAAAUAUGUCAAUGUAGUGUGAACAACUAACAAUGACACUUUUUAAGUGUCAAGGUUCUCUUUAGUGGUGCUUUCUAAAAGUGUCCUUAUAGUUCGAUAUUUGAAACUGCUAAACAAUGGCACUUAUAGAAAGUGUCAAGGUUUCUUCUACUCAACAAUGGCGCUUAUAAAAGUGUCAAUGUAGUUUGAUAUAACCAAUUAUGACACUUUUUUAAAGCGUCCAGGUUCUCUUUAAUGACACUUUCUAGAAGCGUCAUUAUAGGCAAAUACUUAUUAUAACAGGCUAGUAGAUGACGCUUUGGGGAAGCGCCAUUGAAUAUAUUUCUUGACACUUAAAAAACGUCAUGGUUAACAUUUUGUCUUAUAGUGAAUUAAAUGUAGUAAUAAAGAGGAUGUGUGGAAAGGUGGGUUUCAUGCACAAAUUUAAAAAAAAAAUACAUAAAAUGAAAACCUUUAAAAAUAAUUCAAAUUUUAUGUAUUUUCAAGUCAAAAAUACUUAUGAUGAUCAAAAUUAAUCAGUACCCACUUUGUUUCUAGAUGGUCAAAUAAUUAAUUAACGUUACAAAUAAGAUAAUACUUUUGAUCAAAAGGUGUACAAAAUCCUAAUUAUCUUUGGGUAAUUAGUGUAUUAAAUUUAAAUUUUACAAAUUCUUUGUAUAAAAACAAACUUUUUCCCUUUAUCUGAAUCUAUUCUAUAUUCCAACAUUUCAAACAUGGGGAAUCAUAAUAUUGUGAGUUAUAUAUGAACGUAUUAUUGGUCUUCAGUUUCGGUUCUGAAUUUUAUAGUGACAACUACGUGGGAACACAUAAGCCUGAUCAAAACAAGGAUAAUAUUUAAAGGAAACUCCAACAUCUAAUAGUAAUAACGACAUGGAGUAUACAAGGUGCUUCCUUCCACAUCAUCUGGAUGCAACGAGACAAUAAAAUCUUAUUACAUCACACGGAAAAACAGGAAGGGGAAAACAAAGAAAACAAAACAAAUAAACACACGCAUGGAAUUAUUUCAGUAACAGGCAACAUGCAUACAUCAUAUGCAAAACAGAAGUAGAGGCUUAGUAGAGUGCGCUUAUGGCGUUCUCGUCAUGGCAGCACCCAAAAGUGAUGUACUUCUCCAUGAUGCGGAGGCACUCUGGGCACUUGAUGUUCUCCGGAAUCCUUCCAACUUCGCUAGGGAACUCAAAACGGCAGCAGGGCCGAGAAUCGCUAUGAAGCUUACUAUGGAAAUCCAUGUAAGCUAUGUCGAAGCCCUUUGGGGGCACGUCGUCUUUCCAUGCAUUGUACUCGGUAAAGGUGAGCAAAACAGUGCUGCUGUGGCCAUUGACGAAUACAAAAGAUCCAUUGCUGAGUACAGCCCAUCCUCCUUCCUUGUCGUAGCUGAUCAGUUUCUUGAUUUCCCGCAGCAUAGGGUCGACAUCGACAGUACUACCUAGCUGGAUCUUGGAGAACAUCAUGCUUUCCAGUCGGGUCCAGAAGAACCAGACCAUGGUAAGAUCUUGCCAGCAGUAGCUGAGUUUCUCCACAGUAAUGGCAGUUGUGCAUUUCCGGACUUGCUCUCUUUUCUUGCUCUGUCCCACGUACACCAUCUCUAAGGGGAUCCGUGCAGCCGAUGCAACUGCCCGUGCGGUGGUUGUGAAUUUUCGGAUCCAUUCCAGGUCAGUUCCUCCGUACAAGUAAAUGAAUUUUCCUUCUUUGAUCUGAUAAAAAAAUAAAAUAAAAUCUCCAGAUAAGUGAAGUCAUUCAUCCACAUGUAAAGCUAGCUGUGUGUUUAGAUUGGUGAAGGUGAAUUACCCAGUUCAGUAUGGUUGGGUCAAUACCAUCCACCAGCAGCUCAAGCUUCCAACUCUCUUCCCUCCAAAGAGCUUCCUCCCUCAAACUAGUGAACGGGAAGGCGGUACUCCCCCAUAUCCACAUCAUGUGGAUUGCAUUAGGGCUCACCACUUUUCCUUGUGGAUCUAGCACCACAAGGAUGGGCUUGUUCCGGAAGUGCCACACCUCCUUGAUGAAUCUGAUGACUGCCUUAUCAAUCAGUGUAGGAGUGUAGACUGAAUACCAUGGCAUUGUGGCCUGCAGAGUCACAAACCGAUCUUGCAUGGCAUCUGUCCACACAACUGAGCGGUCCACAACUGGGAUCCACACAACUUCGUACUGACUCUCCAUCCUAGUCCCGUGGUCCCGAGACUCAUUAUAGAUCUGAUCCAGAAUUGAAAGCUCGUCAUGGGAGAUGGAUAGGCCUGAUAUAAGCAGCAAAACAUUCUUCCUCCUCAGCACAUCUAUGUUAACCUGCGGCAUUAAAGUUAGAACUUUAGGUUAGUAGUAACGAAGUGGAUAUAUGACAGUUUCAUGGAAUAGUGCUACUGCCAAUGCAGUAAUGCAGUGAUAUGUUUGUAGAGUGAACCCUUCUCUUUGUAGAGCCUUCAAGCAGUGGCUGCACGUCAUCCUUGGGAGAAAUCAGUGCCCUGAGAAUCUUCAUGUUGUCAAUGUGAAUACUCUCAAAAAGAUUCAGAAGCAUUUGAAAAGUUUCAGCAUUCCGCUUAUCAUCUGCAUCAAACAGCAAUCCCUUGUCAGAUUUAAAGUCCAUUUCAUUGGUAUUUACAUUAGCUGUGCAACACUUGCUUCCAUAAAUUUGGAACGGGUUGGUGGUCCUACCUAUGUAUUGGUAACAAAGAGUAAGUUGCUUCUUCAGAAGGUCCAGUAUGCUAUUGAUCUUGUGAGCCAUGGUGGACAGUUCCCAUGCCUCAUUUGUAGCAGAUAUCCAGUACCUAAAAUCAUUGCAAUUGUCAUAAGUAAAAUGAUUGUUGCCUAAUCAGCAUUCCCAAUGGAUUAAGUGGCAUAUCAUAUAAUUCUUCCACAAAAUCAGAGGCAUUUAUUUUUUGUAUUUGGAAAAUUAGCAAAUGGAAAAGAUAUUUAGUUGGCAGUACGUUGCUUUACUAAGGUUGAAAGAUUGAAGCAUGAUAUAUCAGCAAAGAGAAUAUAACAUACUCAUGGCCCAUGCUAGUGAGGGUUGUAAUCUGAGUUGCGCAAGCCACAACACUCCUGAUGGUCCAGUAAACAGCAGUGGGGAUAUGGGUCAUUGCUGUUGCUAAUGCUGGUACGUCCUGGCUUAUAUACAUGGACGGGAGCUCCUUGAACUCAAUAAUGCACCUGGUAAUUGCCACCAUAGCCCUGAUGAGAUUGUUAAGAGCAUCAAACCGUGGUUUCAGUUGACCAGAGUGCUCCAAGAUGGUGGGCACUUGCUUAAGGAUUGCCAUUGAUUUCGCAAGUUGGUUGGAUGAGGAGAUCUGAGCAAGGAGCCAGAAUUCACCAUAGUUCACAGCAAAAGCUGAUAGGGUUAGCACCAGCUUUGCUUCCCAUGAAUAGCUUGUUAACAGGUUAAAUAUAGAGAGUGUCGUUGCAUGAGCAUCACCUCCGCCCAAACUCUUGUAUGCUAUCUGAAUACAUAAUCGAUUGAUCACAUGUCAUUGUAAAGAAACAAAUAAAACGUAAUCAUGCCAUGUGUAUAAUGCAUAAGGGAUGAGUUUUCUGCAUGUCAUUCUAAGAAAUGAAUUUUUGCAGUAGUUCUUUGUAAUAACCUCGCAGGAAAUUCGAUCAAUGGUAAACGACAGUGCUUCGAGCAAAGCAAAGAAACUGGCUUGAUUUGUCCUAUCAUCAGAAGUUUCAAUGCGUGUUUGGGCAGCCUGCAAUGAAAUCACGAGUCGAUUAUCUACUAUAAAUGCAUAGAAAAUUUGUAUCUGCAUACCCUUUCGUUCAAGUAUCCUUCAUUAAUUAGGAUUGUCAAUUGCAUAUGCUCUUAACUAACACAACAAACUAAAACGUGGAAGUUUUAAUGUUCUUGAAUUAAAUGAUUUCACCCCAUGGAAGCAGCUCGAGCAUUUGGAAAAAGAAGAAGAGUGUUAUUGUGAAGGAGUUGAAAUUUUGAAAUAGAAGUUAUCCUCAAAACAUAUAGUAGGAAAAAGGUGGACUUCGGCAGUAAAAAGUUUGUUAUUCUGAAAAUAUUUUAGAUGUAGAUAAAUGACUAUAUGGCGUAAAAAUUUCUUGUGUUGAUUUUGUAGAUAACAUAGGAGUUGGCUAGUUAGUAUGACAUUGUGCUGGCUAGGAAUCCUUGAUUGGUAUGUGCAUUUACUUUUGUUUUGGCUAUUGAAAAAAAUGAACAAGGUCAAGUAAUUAAAAGCAGCCUGAACAAAAGAAACUGGCAGAAACAUUAGGCCCUUACUACAUAAGAGGUUAUAGGAGUGUUAUACCGAAAUUAAGGGAUCAACACCCGGUGUAGCCCGAUUCAGGAUGUCUUCCACGAGUUGGAAAAGAGGCUUAACAUCAAACUCUCGGCCAUCAGGAGCAUGGGUUGCGUGAAUUUGUUUCACCAUCAUGUUGUCAUCAGACAUGGUUAUCAUGCUCCUAUCAUGCUUGAUCAGUUUUUGUAAGGGAACUGGGUUGAUUUUGGUGGUUUCUGCGGGCUUCAACACUUGCUGCAGCGGAGCUGGGUUGAUCNNNNNNNNNNNNNNNNNNNNNNNNNNNNNNNNNNNNNNNNNNNNNNNNNNNNNNNNNNNNNNNNNNNNNNNNNNNNNNNNNNNNNNNNNNNNNNNNNNNNNNNNNNNNNNNNNNNNNNNNNNNNNNNNNNNNNNNNNNNNNNNNNNNNNNNNNNNNNNNNNNNNNUGAGAAGUAGCAGUUCACGUUGCCUUUAUGUGCCUUGGUUUUACUUUGCUCUGUGUUUUUUCUUGUUUCUUUCUCUACAGAUUUGCAGGCCUUCAUUUAUGCGGAGAACCAGUAGCUUGUUCAAGGGUAGCAUCAACAGCAGACCAUCCAACACUUACACAUACUCAUAACUCCAAAAUGCAAAUGGUCGAUGAGCUACCAUAGGAAAUCUUCACUGACACUUCCUAACCAACACUCACCAUCCUCACCCUUAAUCAGUGAGCCUCCACAAACAACUAGAAGCUUAAAAGCUAUUGAGAUUUUUGGACCCCACACAAAAGCUGUUGUUUGUUUUAUAAUGUUCUAAUGAGAAGUCUGGAAUUCAAUUUUUUCCCCUUCAAAUUUUCUUUUGAAAAUUUCUCUAACCUAAACCUCUGUUACUUUGUGUGUGUUCUAUUUAGAUCUUGUCUUUGGAUUCUUUUGUAUAAAUUUAUAAUGUUUUAGACUCAGAAAUGUAGGGAAAUGAACUAUUUUUGUUUUUGCUCUGUUAUUGCUUCCCUUUUGCUUAUGCCAUUUAAGUUUAUAUUUUCAUGAUUUUGAUCUCAGAAAGCGGUGUUUAAGAUUCAUAGAUGACGGUUGACUGCAUAAAAGUUGUUGGCUAUUUAUUGGACUUAAGUAGUGGAGAUUUAUUUUGAUUACUUUUAUUUUCCAAUGAUUUCUCACUAUCCAAGCAAAGUUUAAUAUUAAGAAAUUUGAUUGCUUCAUACCAUGUUGUUUAGUAUUUAAAGUUUUAUGGUUUAGACUGUUAUUAUUGUUUUAUAUUAGAUGUAUUUAAAGAAACUGGUUGCAUCUGAACCUAGUUAUGGUAAGGUGUAUUCCAAUUAGAAAAUUAGAAAAGUACGUAUGAGAGUAGAUCAUGAAGACCGGUACUAAUUCCUUUGUUUAUUUCAUUAAUGGUUAUGGAAUGACAUAAAUUUUGUGAUAUUGUUUGGUAUUAUUGUAUAUAUAAGAGGGUGAUUGGGACUGCCAAGCGAUCAACUAAGGGAGUCUGGACAGAGCAAAAGGUUAGAAAUUAAAGGUUCUUAUAGGGUUUAUGGCUUUCUGUUGUGUAGUUUUGGGUGUUGGGCUAGUUAUUUGAACAACUUUGAAAUGGGGUUGUGAUGAAUGGUUCUUUGCAUUUACUUGUUAUUUGAACUACUGUGAAAUGAAGAUUAGAUGAAUGACUUCAUAUGCGUUCUUUUUCCCCAUUAACAGGAUCAAGUAUUAGUCUAUGUUGUCAAAAAGUACAAUGGAAAUAACUGGAAAAAAAUUUGGUGCAUAUAACAUUAUUGCUUUCCACUCAUUAGGGUUCCUCAGUAGCAGAAUCUAUCUGAUUAGCUUUGUCAUUCAUAAAUAUGCCAGUAGCCGGGGCAUAAAUUAGUGUUAAUUAAGUUUUUCAGAAAAAAUUAUUUUUACAAUAUUUUUUAGGCUGGCCAAUUUCGCUCAGUCUGUUUCUUUCAACUGUCAAUUUGCGACAAACUUGUCACCUUGUGCAACCAAAUAUGUCACUGGCACAAUAGAGAAAUCUUCUCUUGUUUGUGUCUAAGCUUUUUUAAUAGCCUUUUAAUCCAGAUAGCUUCCUUACAAGCCUGUGUAGCUGCCAUGUACUUUGCUUCUGUUAUAGAUAGAGCCACAAUAGUUUGGAGUUUUGAAACCUAGCUCACAACUCCUCUUGUAAGUGUAAACAAAUAGCUCGUAGUAGAUUUAUUCUUAUCAAGAUAACCUGCAAAGUCUGAAUCAACAUAACUAAUACUUUGAUGUAUCUAAGGAUCCUCUUAACUAUAUUUCAAUGCUCUCUCCCCAAAUUUGCCAUGAAUCGACUUAUCACUCCCACUACUUGUGCAAUGUUUGGUUUUGUACAAAUCAUAGAAAACAUUUCCCAUUGCUGAUGCAUAUGGUGUUUGAGAUAGUUUCAUCCACUCCACUUUAUUACUAGGACUCAUACUUGAGGAUAAUUUGUAAUUUACAAGAAGUAAGGUAGAAACUGGUUUACAAUCAUGCAUGUUAAAACGAUGUAAGAAAAAUUUCAAGUAGCUUUUUUGUGAGAGUCAAAUCUUCUUGUUUUGUCUAUCUCGGCAAAUUUGCAUCCCUAGAAUUUUGUUUGUUGGUCCUAGAUCCUUCAUCUUAAAUAUCUUAGCCAAUUGUGCCUUUAAUUCUUGGACUCAAUCUUUGUUGGGGUUUUCAACCAACAUGUAAUCACGUAUAACAACAAAAUAAUAAAAUCAUCACCCUCAAACCUCUUGUAAUAUAUACAAUGAUAUGAAUUGAGUCUAUUGUACCCAAGGCUCAAUAUGAAGGAAUCAAAUCUCUUGUACCCACAUCUUGACACUUAUUUUAUACCAUACAAAGAUUUAGUUAAUCUGCAAACCAAGUUCUCUUUCUCAUUUUCUUCAAAGCCUUUCGGGCAUAUAAAUUUCUUCUUGAAACUCUCCAUGAAGAAACACAAUUUUCACAUCUAACUACUCAAAGUGUAAAUCCAAUCCAGCACACAUAGCUAAGACUACUCAAAUUGAUGUAAAUUGAACAAUCGGAGAAAAUCACUCAUUGAAAUCAAUACCUUCUUUCUAAGCAUAUUCUUUAACCACCAAUCUUGCACUAUACUUCUCCACUUGGUCAUUGCUAUCAUGUUUGAUCUUAUAGACCUACUUAUUUCCAAUAAUUUUUCUUCCAAGUGGUGGGGGCACAAAUUUCCAUGUCUGGUUCUUAUGCAAGGAUUUAACCUUCUAUUGCUUUGUUGUCAUCCAUAAAAAUGAAUAUGGACUGUUUAUGACCUCUUGAUAAUUUGAAGGCUCUUUAUCUUCUAAAGGAGACAAUAUGCAACAUUAAUUACUAUACCAAACUUUAAGUGCCAAGAAGGUUCUCUUCUUUCUUGGAUUGAUUACUGCACUUUAGGUGUCUAAACCUCAACUAGUAUUUGUUCAUUAUGCUUUGGAACUACUUCAAAAGGUUCUGGCUAUUCCUGUUCUGACUAUUUGUUUCCAAUGAAACUUAUAGUAUAUGUCUUCUUCAUUAGUGUGUUAUCUCAUUCUUCACUUUGUAACAUGUUUUCUAUAAAAAUGACAUCUCUACUGAUGAUAACAUUACAGGCAAUAGGAUCCCACAAACAAUAUCCCUUUACUUCAUUAGAAUACCCCAAGAAUAUGCAUUUUCUGGAUUUUGGAGCUAGCUUUGUUCUAUCUUGGUCAUUAUACAUCACAUAAGCAAAACACCUAAAUAUGUGUAAGAAGAAACUGUUUGUUGGCUUAUUAGUCCACAUCUCCAUAGGUGUCCUCAUCUCAAUUAUUGUUGAUGGAGAUUUAUUAAUUAUAUAGUAAGAAGUUUUGGCUACUUCAACCCAAAAUGUUUUGGGUAGUCCUACAAUCUUUAACAUAGCUCUCAUUAUUUCUACUAGAGUUCUAUUUGUUUGGUCUACUAUGUCAUUUUGUUGUGGAGUGUAAGCAAUAGUUUUCUAUCAUUGUAUGCCUUCUUAACUACAAAAUACAUCAAACUCCUGGUUACAAAAUUUUCCUUCAUCGUCUAUCCUCAAAUAUUUAAUAUUUUUUCUCCUUUCAAGCUCCCUCUACGCUUUAAAGGCUUUGAUUAGUGGAAAGACAUCUAACUUUUUGUUGAUGGGGUAAACCCAACAUCUUAUGGAGUAGUCAUUUACAAACAACACCAAAUGGUUUGUGCCCCUAGGAAAUAUGACCGGUGACUCCCAAACAUUAGAAUGAAUCAAGUCUAAAAUGCCCUUACUUCUUAUAAUAGAUCUACUAAAUCAUAAUGUGUUGCUUAUUGAUAACACAGUACUCACAAAAGGUUAUAGUUUUGAGUCCAAAAAGCAAUUUUUUAUCAAAGAGAAUUUUCAAUUCUUUUUCUGACAUGUGACCAAGUUUGUGAUGUCACCUUAUUGUCAAUUCUUCUCUAGAGUUUGCAACAGAAGUCUCCAUCUCUUUAUAUGUUCUCUCAUGCAACAUGUACAAAUUUACAGCAAUCUUAUCUACUUUCAUCAUCACAAGAGCACCUUUGAUAACCUUCAUGAUUCCCCUUUUAGCAUGGAAUUCAUAUCCAAGGUCAUCCAAUUGUCUCAUUGAUAGCAGAUUCUUCUUUAAGCCCUUCACAUGUCGUACUUCUAGAAUAAUGUGAAUCAUACCAUCAUCCAUCUUUACUUUGGUAAAGUUAAUGUCAACAAUAUCUAAGGCAUGAUUAUUACCCAUUUACACUAAUCCUCCUAAGAUAGCUAGGUUCAUAUUGGUGAAACCAUUCUCUAUAAGAAGUCAUGUGUAAUGUUGUUGUUGAGUUCAUUAACCAAACUCUAACAAAUCUUUGUCUUCUGCAAUUGUUGUUGCAUCACUGUACAAGAUUUUGUUUUCAACCAAAGUACUUAUUUCACAACUCUGAGUAUUUGAUGAUGCAAUUUUUUUCCUUUUCACGUUUUUCUCUACCCUUCCUUUGUAGUGUCAAUACUCUUUGAGAAAUUAAAGGUUAUGCUUAAAUAAGAAAAACACCCAAGAGGGGGGUGAAUUGGGUUUUUCAAAAACUUUUUCAACACAACAAAUUCAAGCACAAUAUAAUAAAAAAUAAAGAGAUAGAGUUAGAGAAUUCAAACUCAGAUUUUAUAGUGGUUCGGUACUUCCUUGCCUACAUCCACUAUGCUCAAUCUCCUAACCAAGUGAGGAUUCCACUAACUUGAAGCUUCAACCAAGCUUCCAAUCUUCUUACACUUAGAUUCCGGCUCCAAUUGGCUCUUGCACAAUCUCUUCAAGAUUCAAACCUCUUGAAGGCUUUAACACUCAGUUUUUACAAGAAUGAAUCCCUCAACCUAUCUCAAUGAUAUCUCAAAUACAAAACAAAGUUAGGAUGACUCACAAGGGUGCACUAAAAGAUAUGCAAGUGAGGAUUUAAUGCACUAAAAAGGAAAUGAGAGAUUUUAAGGCAAGAACAAGUAGGUAGACAAUUGAUUGCAAGUGUUCUCUCUGUCAUAAAUGAAGUGGAGCUAUCAAUUUAUAGGUUUCUAAGCUCGGGAGCCAAGAACAGCAAAAAGCAGCCUCAACCGGUCGAGCUGGGGGUCGACUGGUUCACUAGUCGUUGGAGCAUUUAAUGCUUUGGCAGGUUACCGUUGCUGUGGCAAGUUACCGUUGCCUCGACUAGACCUCGAUCGGGAAGAAGGGAACCUCAAUCGAGAAGGGAAGGCUACUGGAAGAGAGAGAGUGUUUUUUAUACUCCUCGACCAGACCUCGACCGGACAAGGGCAACCGGUCGAUCGGUUCCCUAACCGGUUGAGCCGGUUGGCCAGAGCCUCGAUAGGGAAAGAAGGAACCUCAACCGAAAAGAGAAGGCUACUAGAAGAGAGAGUGUGUUUUUGACACUCUUCGAUUGGACCUCGAUCGGGCAAAGGCAACCGGUCGAUCGGUUCCCCAAUCAGUUGAGCCGGUUAGCCAGAGCCUCGACCGAUUCAACCUUUUGGCCCUGAAAACCUAUCUUUUUCACUUCUUUUCUUAUAUAACACUUAGGCAAGGUCUUUAGGUAAAUUAAUAUGCCAAUUUUGAAACAUUUUGCCUAAGGUACAUUUGAUAAAACUUGGGUUUUAAUGAAAUUGCAACUUUAAAUAACAAAUCGAGUUUUCCAAAGAUGCAUAAAAAGAUAUGUAAACCCUAAGUGUACCCAUGCAUUCAUCUUACAUUUUUUUCCUAUGAUUAAAAGUCUUCUGAAAGUCUUGAUCUUGUAUUCAUUUGGUCAUUUGAUGAAUUUUUGAAUUUAUACCCGAGAUUCUUUACCAUUCAAACCAAUUAGUCACUCAACCAUGGUUUGCUAUCAUUAAAACCUGAUUAGGAGAACCCUUGGGCUAAUAAUCUCCCCCUUUUUUAUGAUGACAAACCUUGGUUAUCUAGGAAAAGGAAAAAAAUCUCCCCCUCAAACUAAUUAUGGAUCAAUCAAUAAAAAUUUAUGAAUGUAAAACCAAGAUAAUCAAGACAUGCAAAUUUUCUAGGAAACAAUGUAAAUCAUGAAAAUAGCAUAUCAUAUAUAUAUAGUAAAGUCAAAUGUACAUGAAACAUAAACAUAUAAGCUAAUCCAAACAUAUAUGACAAUGAUAUGCAUGUAGGUCUCCUAGAUCCUAGAUAUCUCUCCCCCUUUGGCAACAUAAAAAAGAAACGAAGGGGGUCUCAAUGAAAUCAAGGCUGAGAAGGUGGAGGUGGAAACAUGAAGCGGAGGUAAGCCAUCAUGUCCUCAUGCUGACUCUCCUGGUGACUCUCAAUGAACUCAAUCCUCUGCUGGAGAUGAUCAAAUGCAACCUGCAACUGAUCUAUGCGAUCUUCCAUACACUUAAAUCUCUGAUGCAGAUACUCAAACUGAGAAGUGAAGCUAGUCUGAUAUUGAUCCUUGCGAUCAUCCAUGGAGUAGAAUCGAUUAUCACUGACUACUGCAAGCUCUUCUAUGCUAGUGCCAAGUGAGCUGAUAUGAGUAGAUAAAUCCAUCCAAGGCGCAUGAUCAGGAGCAUGAAGUGUCUGAUGAGGUGAUGUCUCGGUGUGAGGAGGCUCGAUGAAGGAUGGCUGAGAAGAUGGUCCCACUGUGUAAGCCGACUCAGACAUCAUUAGCUCAGGGAAUGUGGCCUCAAACUGAACACCCUCAGACUGGAGUGGAGGGAUGUCAAGCUCGGGUUCUUUCUGCUCAAAGCCUCUUUGAGGAUUUAACCCACCAUCUAUCUCUCAGAUCUCGGUCUCCUCCUCUACUCUGGGAUGGACCUGCCCUUAUCCCUGGGCUUGUGUUGGUGGUCGCUCCACUCUCCUAACCCAGGAGCCAUCGAGGGCCUUCUCAAACUUCAUCCGCCCCAAAGACUACUCAUCAUAUGUAUCAUAAAUACUAGGGGCCUUGAAAUUUGUCUCUUUACUCAAAUCAACCCCAGCAUCCUUGAAUACUCGAGUGAGGAAGCGCUCAUAGGGGAGUACGCGGGUCGUGCUCUCGCAGCAUGAUAUCAUGUGCAUCAUCAUCAGAUAUCCCACGUGAAUCUGUCUCCCUGUUAGAAUGGAGUCUACGAGGAAUGCCUCAAUGUAGGAGACCUCAUCUCGAUGCCCGCCUUGUGGCAAUAAGAUGGAGCAUAUCAUGUGAUGAAGAACUCGAUUGAUCAGCAUAGUGAGCCAAGUCUUGGACUCAUAUACCCUGAGUCCAGAUGAAGGAAUUUCUAAAAUAUGGCAGAUGCUCUCUAGGUCCAACUGGAUCUCAACACCUCUAACGGUGGAAAUAAUCGGUCCACCAAGUCCAUAUGUCACUCUCAAAUAGAAUGUUCUCACUAAUGUUGAAAAAAUCGGCUCCGAAAUAGUCACUAUAGGCAGCCACCCCAUCCGUCCGAAAAGACAAAUUAAAAUCACUAAGUGUUUGUUUCAUCCAAAGAAUUUGUAACAACAUAAACCGACUGCUAUGUAUUUGGUUUCUGCCGUUGACAAAGGUAUCGAAUUUUGCUUCAUACUAUGCCAUGAAACAAGUGAGUGUCCUAGGAAAUGACAAGUGUCACUAGUGUUUUUUCUUUCAGCCUUAAAACCAGUAAAAUCGGCAUCCGAGAAUCCAAUCAAUUCAAAGUUAUCACUCUUAGGAUACCAUAAGUCUAUGUCCAUUAUCCCUUUCAAGUAUAUAAGAAUUCGUUUUACGUCACUUAAGUGGGAUUUUUUAGGACAAGAUUGAAAUCUAGCACACAAGCAUACACUAUACAUGAUGUCGGGUCUACUAGCGGUUAAAUAUAGCAAAGAACCUAUCAUGCCUCUAUACAUAGUUGAGUCAAUGGAUUUACCUUUCUCAUCCUUAUCAAGCUUGAUGGAUGAGCUCAUUGGAGUCUUCAUUGUUUUGGCUUCUUCCAUGUUGAACCUUUUGAGAAGAUUUCUUAUAUAUUUUGCUUGAUUGAUGAAGGUUUCUUCAUUUAGUUGCUUGAUUUGAAGUCCAAGUAAGAAGUUAAGUGAUCGCUCGGAUUGUUGUCAUUUAUUGGAUCAAAACAAAAUUUAUAACCUAAUUCACUAUUCUAUAGCAUAUUGUACCCGAUCAAAAAGUGGUUUUAGUACAAACUACUAUAGUAUAGUGGUUUUUAGGUAUCGUCCACAAGGAUGAAUUAUUCUUGGUAAUCAAGGCUUGAAUGAGAUGAGAAGAAAUGAUUGAGAUCAAGUGAAAAUGAUUUGACAAUUCAUGAUAAAAAUUCAAAAUGACAAUGAUUCCAAUUUGAGAGGAAAAUGAAAUGAAAAAUAGAAGAAAAUUAAUAGAAAAUGAAAUUCUCGGAGUUAGGAUUUUCUAGAAAACAAUUUCCAUGGUGAAUAGAUAUUGAGAUCUAAUUUUCAUCAAGUUAUAUUGAAAACCUAAAUUUCAUCUAAACCGAUUUUUGAUUUAGCUUUAGGUAUAGAUCUAAUUUCUCUUCAAAUUAGGUCAUUUAAUCCAAGAGAUCAAUUCAAAUCAUAUAUUCAAUUCAUCUUAAAUUAUCUUCCAAUGAUUCACACAAUAUAACUAUUCAAUCUCAUCAAAUUUAGUAUUAAGAAUUUGAUGAAUCUACCUAGUUUGCAUUGUAGUAAUCAUUCAAGACAAUUUGAAGAGAAAAAUCCCCAAAUUUCAAUUAAUCAAUCAAUUGGAUCAAAUUACCUUUGCAAUUCAAGCUCAUUUCUCUAAUUCACCAUAGAUCUUGCCUCUAGAUCCUUUCUCCUCCGAGAAAAAUGAGAUUUAGUCACUCAUGCUUGGAGAUUUGGUCUCACAAGGCAUGUUUGGCUAAUGAGAAAAUGAGAGAAAAUGAUAUCAAAUGAGAGAAAAUGAAGGAAAGUAGAAAAUUCCUUAAAGAGGAAAUCUGGAAAAUUCUACAAUUAGAAAAUGUAUAAAAGUCCCUAAAAUGAGUAAAUCAAGUUUCUAUUUUAGGCCAAAGUCAAGUGGACACUUGGCAUCAUCUAAGAGGUUUUUCAGAGUCUUAUUCACCAAGAAAUCUAGAAAAAGUGCAAUUUCACACGAGCUCCAAUAAUUUCGCACGAUUGUGCGAAGUGGAAAAUUCAUUAGCACCAUUUUCGCCUUCUUGGAACAUUUCGCAUGACUGUGCAAAAUUUUCGCAUGGUCAUGUGAAAUCAGUUUCCAUUUUUCCCUUUUGAGCUGCAGCCAAAAUCCUUUUUGUUUCAUUUCGCACGACUGUGCAAAUUUUCCUCAUGUUCAUGCGAAAUGGAAAAACAUAGUUUUUCAACUCCUUUUUGUCAUUUCUUCCAUUUCUUUCUUUUGAUUCCACUUCAACUACCUCCAAAUCAACUCCAAAUCCCAAUCCAAACCGAUUGUAUUGCUUUUUUCAUUAUGCAUUUGGAUCAUCGUCAACUUUAUUUGUUCUCUUCAAUUUGAUUCAUCUCUUUUGUCACCAAAUUAUCAAAAUCAUACCUUGAAAUGACUUCAAAACUUCAUAAAACUUCUUAGUAACUCUUGCAAGGGCAACAACAUGUUAAUUGAGUGUUUUAGACAUAAUUACUACUCAAAAGAUGUGAAACUCAUGAGAAUUAUUAUCUAUAAUAUGCUCUUUUUGAGUAGUAAUCAUUGAGUUCUCCCAUCAUGCUCAUUUCAAACUCACUAUGCAUGUACUUAGAAAAUUCUUCACAAAGAGAGACAUUAGUAGCUCCAAAAAUAAUAUCAUCAACAUAUAUUUGAACUAAGAGCAUGUCCUUUUCUUUGGUCUUUAUGAAAAGAUUUGUGUCAAUUUUUCCCAUUUUAAAACCCUUUUUCAGAAGAAAUUUGUUCAAUCUUUCAUAUCAUGCUCUUGGUGCUUGUUUCAAACCAUAAAGUGUCUUUUUAAGUUUAAAAACAUGAUUAGGAAAGUUAAAACUUUGAAAACCGGGUGGUUGUUCAACAUAUACUUCUUCAUUUAUAAAGCCAUUUAAGAAAGCACUUUUCACAUCCAUUUGAUAUAAAAUAAAGUCUUUAAAACAUGCAAAGACAAGUAGCAUCCUAAUGGCUUCAAAUCUAGCUACGGGGGCAAAGGUUUCUUCAUAAUCUAUCUCUUUUUCUUAAUUAAAACCCCGGGCUACCAAUCUUGCUUUAUUUCUAACAAUUAUGCCAUUUUCAUCCAUUUUAUUUCUAAAGACCCAUCUAGUUCCAAUAACACUUUGAUUUGAAGGUAUUGGCACUAAUUCUCAUACUUCACUUCUUUCAAAUUGAUUUAACUCUUCUUGCAUAGCAAUCAUCCAAUUUUCAUCAACUAAAGCAUCAUGUAUAUUUUUAGGUUCAAUUUGAGAGAUAAAAGCAAGAUUAUAGCAAAUAUUUCUAAGAGAUGAUCUAGUUCUUACCCCACUAGAUGAAUUACCUAUAAUUUGAUCUUGUGGGUGGUUGAUGACAAACUUCUAAUCUUUAGGAAGGUCUUGGCUUGAUUCACCUUGCACUUGUUGAGCAAGGGGUAGUGUCAAUGGUGAUUCUUCUUUCUUGGGAUCCUCUCCAAUUUCUUCUUGUUGCCUUCUAUCUUCAAUUUGGAAUUUUCCCAUGGAGGUCUCAAGCCUAAAUCAUCAUUAAAACUCUCUAUUUCUUGGAGAGAAUUGUUAGAUUCAUAAAAAAUAACAUGGAUGGACUCUUCUACAACCAUGGUUCUUUUGUUGAAAACUCUAAAGGCUUUACUUGAAGUUGAGUAACCAAGGAAAAUUCUAACAUCCAAUUUUGCAUCAAAUUUUCCAAGAUUUUCUUUGGUGUUUAAUAUAAAACAUUUGCACCCAAAGACUUUGAAAUAGCUAAUGUUGGAUUUCUUAUUUUUCCAAAGCUCAUAGGGAGUUUUCUUAAGAAUGGGCCUCAAUAAUAUUCUAUUUAAAACAUAACACGAAGUGUUGUUAACCACUUCGACCUAAAAAUAUUUUGGAAAAUUAUUUUCAUUUAGCAUGGUUCUAGUCAUUUCUUGAAGAUUUCUAUUUUUCCUUUCAUCUAUCCCAUUUUGUUGAGGAGUUUUAGGAGCCGAAAAAUUGUGGUUAAUACCAUGCUCAUUGUAAUAUUAUUCAAAAUAAAUAUUUUCAAAUUCUCUCCCAUGAUCACUUCUUAUAAAAGUAAUUGUUAAACCUUUUUCAUUUUGAAUCUUAUUGUAAAACUUUGAAAACUCAUAAAAGGCUUCAUUCUUUUGACUUAAAAACAAGACCCAUGUGUAUCUAAAGAAGUCAUCCACAAUAACAUAUGCAUAAGAUUUUCCUCCAACACUUGGUGUCCUAGAGAGACCAAAUAAAUCCAUAUGCAACAACUCAAGAGGCUUAGAGGUUGAAAUAAAAGUUUAUUUUUUAAAGAGUUUUUUAUUUGCUUUCCCAUUUGACAAGCUUCACAAACUUUGUCUUUUUGAAAAUUUAUUUUGGGAAAGUCUCUAACAAGUUCAUCUUUGUUGAGUUGGGAAAUGAGGUCCAUGUUAGCAUGUCCCAACCUCCUAUGCCACAACCAACUUUGAUCAUGCAUGCUUGAAAAGCAUCUAUCAUGGUCAUCAUAUUUUGAAAUAUUUAUAAUGUAAACAUUAUCACACCUAUGGCCCAUGAAGAUGGUUUUAUCAUUUUGAAUAUCCUUGAUGAUGCAAUGAUAUGCUUCAAAAAUAACUUUAAAACCUUUGUCACAAAGUUGACUAAUGCUUAAAAGGUUAUGUUUUAAACCAUCCACUAAUAAAACACUUUCAAUAAGAGAGGAUGUGCCAUUACCAAUGUUGCCUUGACCAAUGAUUCUUUCUUUUGCAUUGUCUCCAAAGGUAACAUAUCCUCCCUUUCUCUUUGUAAGAAAAGCAAACUUGGAUUCAUCUCGCAUCCACUAUCCAAGAACCACUUAUCCUUCUUUGAACCCUACUGUAGACCCUCUAUUUUGUCUUCCUCGCACAUGUCGUUUAUAGCAAUUCCCUGGUGGCCCAUUAAUACUCAUGUUAGCCUAUCUUUUCUAAGCCACCUCGGAGACUUUGGUUGAGGGAUUAUCUGACCUCUUAUUAUUACCCUUGGCAGCCCUAACUUAGACUUAGGCUUUUCUUGCUUUUUUUUUAGGAUAGCUUUUAGGCACCCUAGGCCCACUUAGGCACCCUAGGCCCAUUUAGGUAACCUUAGGCCAAUUUAGGCACCCUUGGCCCACUUAUGCACUCUAGGCCCAUUUAGGCACACUUGGCCCAUUAGUCAUUACCAUUAGGCCCAUUUAGAUCAUUUUUUGCAUGGAUACAUGGUUUGCAUGGCUUGCAUGGUUGCAUAGCUCAUAUGGCUUGCAUGUGCUUGAUUUUGUUUUUGUUUUUUUAUCUUUCUCUAUUUAUUAGUUUUAUUCAUUUAUUUACUUAUUUUUAGAAAAUUGCAUGAGCUUAAUAAUCAUAUUCAUUUCAUUUUUAUUUAUCUAUUUAUUAAUUUAUUUUGAUAAGGAAUUGCUUGAGUCAAUAAUUCGUUUUAGUUAUGCAUGUGAUCUAUAUUUUUAAUUUCUUUUAAAAUGACAUAGUUUGAAUUUUUAAUUAUCAGUCACAUUUUUUUUUAUUAUUACUCUAACCCUUAUUUUUUCUAUUUUUUUAUUUGUUAUAUUUUGUUUUGUUGCCCGGGAUUUUACAUACUCCAUAUUGAAAAAAAGAUUAUUAAAAAGAAUGAUUAUGGGAAGAAGAUUAGCAUGAUGAAGGUGGUCGGUGGAGUCAACAGGAUGAUUAUGGGAAGAAGAUUAAGAAGGCUAGGUUUUGGCAAGUGAAAGGAAAGAGGGUGCAGCACGUAUGUGGACAGGAAGUGAGGUUGUGUUCAAGAAAAAGAAAAAAAAAGUGGUCUAAAAAGGAAGAGUGCAGCCGCGUGAUUAAGGGGAAGAAAGAUCAUUUUCCGGGCUGGUGAGUUGUCUUCCCAUGUUGGCAGGGUACUAGAGAGGAAGAAAAAGAAAAGAAAAGGAGGAGAGACAGACGAUUGACUGAGAAAAAGAAGAAGAGAGGCUGUGAUUUUCAGAGAGAAUAGGAGUGAUCAGUCGGUGUCUUGAAGGGUGAGGCUGUGAUUUUCAGAGAGAGGAGAAGAGCGGGCUGCUGUUUUUCAAAGAGAUCAAUCCACGUUUAAAAGAGAUUGGAGGCUGCUAUUUAGAGAGAUGGAAUCCGUGUUUUGAAAGAAUUUUGGGGGACUGCUGUUUGAGGAGGGAGUCCAGGUUUUAGAGGGGAUUCGGGCUGCUGUUUUGGAACGGAGAGACACAACUGCUUGUUGAUAUUCAUUGGCUACUCACCCUGCCAUGGUGAAGAUGAAUACAUACCUACCUUGUUGAAUCUGAAGAUGAGAGGGUGCAGUUGCACCAUUCUGGGACGUGAGGAGAACCAUUGAGAAAGAAAGUGGAGGCAACCGCACCAUGCAUUGAAGGAGCCGCACCAUGCACUGAGAUUUCAUUCCUCUCCAAAGGUACCCACACGGCUGCAAGUUGAAGAGGAACUCACCAUAGCCGCACCAUGCAUCGAGAACCAGUCGCACCACUCCUUUGAAGGAAGAUUCAACACACAUCUCCACGUAAAGGAGAUCCAUUCACACGGCUGCCACUUAGAGAAAUAAACAAUCCGCGUACCUACAGAGCCUCCACGGGGAGCAUUUUCAGCAUCAUCGCACCUUUGAGAGAACUUCUGGAACAGCCGCGUCUUUGAGGAACUUUUAGCCAUCAUCCGCACCUUUGAGAGAACUUUUGGAACAGCUACAUCUUUGAGGAACUUUCAGCAUCACCCGCACCUUGAGAACUUCUGGAACAGCCGCAUCUUUGAGGAACUUUCCUCUACAGCCACAUCAUUGGGAGACGAGAGAGGAAUCAGCCACACCCAUCCAGACUUGCUCCUAUAACUUCACAGCCGGCUAGCACCAAGCACAGUACACCUAUCCGGUUGGGUGAGUUUAUCUCUUAUUUUUUUAAUCCAUCAAUACAACAUGUUAAAGGUUCAUUAUGAAUUUAUUGUUAUGCCAUUAAGAGUCAUUGUUAAACUUGAGAUAUUUAUAUCUAUAGGUUAACUACUUAUCCAUUUAUUAAUAAGAUUUAUGUUAUAGGUUAGAGACAUAGUUCUAAAACUUGUCUUAGAUAAUUUUUCUUUAAUUUAAUUUUUGAUUUACGCGAGAUUUGUGUGCGUUAAAAUAGUUAAUAUUAAGUGGUAAAUAUUUGAUUUUAGGAUUGCCAUAAUUGGUGUUAAAAAUAUUUUUAAACUUAGAUUUCAUUUUAGUAAUGUAAAUUUAUUUGAAACUGUUGAUCCUAUGAGUUCAUAUUUCGUUUUAGUCAUACUUAUUUAUUGUGUUAUCUAUUUAUCCAUUUGUUAAUGAGAUUGAUUUUAUAGUUUAGUUUUAAAAUUUGUUUUGGAUAGUUUUUUUUAAUUUAAUUUUAGGUUUAAGUAAAAUUUUAGUUUGUUAAGAUAAUUGACCUCAUGUGUUAAAUAUAUGAUUUUUAGAUUUGCCUAAAUUAGCGUUUAUUUUUUUAUUUUUUUAUUUUUUUUGAGUUUAGAUUUCAUUUUAAUAAUGUAAAUUGAUUUAAAAAGGAAGUUGAUUCCAUGAAUUCAUAUUUUGGUUUUUAGUUUGCUUUCAUUUUAUUUGAUUCAUUUUAAUUAUUUUGGUGUUUUUUUUUAUAAUUCGAAGUUAUCAAUAAAAUCAAUUCCACAUUUAGAAGGUGCCUAUGCUUAGUAUACUCUGAUUUAAUUUCACUCAUCCAUUCAGUUUAGGUAUUUUCUAUAAUAUUAGCUCACUAAUAAAGUUAAUUCUAUGAUUGACAAUUUAUUAUUUGCUUUGAUUUAAUUUGGCUCAUUUUAAUCAAUUUAGAUGUGUUCUUGUGUUUAAUUGAUCUCAUGCUAAUUCUUGAUUGUUAUUCUUAAUGGAUGUGUUUCUUGAAUAUUCAUCAUUAAUUCUUGGUGGGUAUCUCGUUAGCUUAUUUGAUCUAAGUUUGAAUAGUUUAUUGCUUUGGUAGUCUCUAGUAAAAUUUACUUUUCAGAGGCUAUCGGAAAAUAGUGAAGAUUGACCUCCAUUCCCACCACUUCAAUUUUAUCGGUUGUCAAAAAUUCUACUUUGUGAUUUUGUUCUUUUUUUUCUUUUGCUUGGUAUUUUGAUUCAUACAUUUUAUUGUUUUCAAAUUAACUUCUUUUAUCUUUAAAACAUAACAAUAUUCUCAAAAUCUCGUUUCCUUAAAAACAAACCAUUUCAAAAAUUCAUUUAGAGUUCUCAGAAUCAAAAUCCCAUUCCCUUUAAAAAUUCAUUUCAAAGAUUCCUUUAGGAUUCUUAAAAUCAAAACCCUAUUUUCUUAAAAUAAUAUGCAACCAUUUUUUUGAUUGGUUUGCAUCUUUCUCAGUUUUUAACGAAAAUUUUGGUUUGAAAUCAGACUCGAAUCAAAGCUUGUGGUCCCACAUAAAUGGGAUAAUUUUGAGCUAAAUUCGUGUAUAUCAAUUGGGGAAUUGGUGAAACCCCUACAUAAAAAAAUCUUUUCAAAAAGUAUUUUUGUUGCCACUUUUGUCACUUGUUGAAAUUAUGUCUAUUUUUUUUUUUUUUAGGAAUUGUAUACAAGAUGAGUGUGAUAAUUAGUGUUUUCAUAUACUUUGAUAAUUUCUGCUAUGCUAAUUAGAUAACGAGCAUGCUAGGAUUCCUAUAUUCUAUUAUUUAUUAUCUAACCCCUCAUGUCUUAUGGAAGCGCAUUGUAAGUCAUCUAUGUUAUCCAGGUACGUAUCACCUACUUUCUAAAUUUUGUAAACAAUCAUGUCACUGUGAAAUAUGCAUAUGUUUGAUAAUCCUUAGGUGCUUAGAUGUAUGCUAGAUUCGCUAUGAUUAAAUACAUGUUGUGUGCUAUACUUCUAUACUAUCUCUCAUGUUUUAUGAUAGCGCUUGGGAAGCCAUCCAGGUACGCAUCCUUAACUUUCCUUCAUUGUUAUUUGAUCUUGUUAGGCAUGCAAUAUUCGAAAUCAUCUAGUCUACUUAGGUAUCCAUAAUUAACUGAUUAAUGGCCACACUUCCCUUAACUUUGUCAGUAGAGACCUUUAUAGGGCUUAGAGGGGUGCUACCUUUCAAAGGUACCUUCCCAAUAGGUAACCUGAUCCCCGGACUUAACUCGGGUUUUUCAAGGACACGCUUUUCCAAAAAUUAUGGAGUCAUUUUUUUUAGGGUUUUAUUUCUUGUUUUAUUUUCCCUUCAAAAAUAAAAAUAAAAUAAGUGGCGACUCCAACUUUUUUCAAAAAUCAAUUUCUCACAAACAAAAAGCGAGUCUCGCCGAUCGAGUGGGGGCGCACGUGAAAAAUGCGGAACCACACCUACAAAAUAAAAUUCAAGUAGAUUUAGGUACCCAUAUGAUUCGUCCCUAGCAGCGGCAGUGGCAAUGGCACCAUCUGAUUCGGGGUUCGAUCCUCGGCAACGGCGCCAUUUGAUUCGUGCCCAAUUGGUGUCUCAGCUGAUUUGUGUCCAGCUGGUGCUCCUUGAUUGAGGGAGUAAUCAACAAAAUUUAUAAUCUAUAACACCAUAUACUAGGGUAGCAAAGAAAAAGCUACUAUAGUAUAGUGGCUCUAGGAUCGUUCACUGGGAUGGGUUUUCACUUUACAAAUGAUAUCAAUUCAAAGCUGAAUUGGUGCCUUUUCAUUUCAAGGUUAGCUUUAAAAGAAAACAUAAAGAUGUUUGAAAGAAAAGAAUUUGGUUUUAAACUAACCAAAAGUAGUAACUGAUUUUACUUAUAAAGAAAGAUGUUUCUUGGAGUUCAGAUCACUAGGCUCAGAUUCCUCAUACAAAAAGGGAGUUCCGGUCACUUGUUUAUUUUCCUCGCAUUAGAGAAUUAACAUAUAGUUAAUUCUCUAACCGGUAUUGUACAGAUGCUUCCCAUUAAUGGGUUCAAACACUAAAUCCCUCUCACUGAUGCAACUUGCAAUGGUUCAUGCCUCUCACCUAGCACUUGCCAUUCAAGGUGAUCUUUAACCUUGGAUUACCCGUCAAAAGCUCGCAAGAGAUAACUAAUGGAUGUCUCCUUGGAGUCCAAAAGCUUACCAAGUGUUGGCUAUUCUAGAAAAUCCUACCUUCAAGUCACCUCCCAAAGGCUCGCAAGGGGUAAACUAGUGCAUUUCCAUGGUUGGAAAUCACUUGCCUUACCAAGUGUUGGCCCAGGUGACUCUAAGGUGUUUUAAGUUAACUAAAAACAUAGAAAUCACUAACGGGUUACACUUUCUCUUCAUUAAAAACUAAAACAACAAAACUUCCCAAUUAUGCAUGUGGAAACUUACCCGGCUUUCCUCACUCCAAGAGACAAAAAGCUUAGCCUCUCAUCCUCUGUGGAAAAAUCCUCAGAGUUUGGUUGGCUAGAAAAUGAAAAUGAAAGAGAAGACAAGAAUAUAUAUCAAAAACAGAGCAAGUGCUCUGUUCGUUGAUUCUAUAUAUUGGAUUACAUAUAUGAUCCUCCUCUUUUACAGUGGAUGCAAGGGAAUAUAUAUAGAGGAGUUUUUCCAACCUUCCCAACUAAGAAAUCUUAUGGUUGGUGGAUUACAAGGAGAAGAAUGGAAAUUUAUACAAAAAUAUCUGAAGAAAAAUAUCCAAAAGAGUCGGUGCACAAAUAUCAAGAAGCACUAAGGACAUUUCGCAGGUGAAAAUGGUGUCUGCGAGAUUUCGCAGACACUCAAGAGGGCUGCGAAAUAUUUUCGCAACAACAAGUUAAACUCGCAGGGCUGCGAAAUUGGCUUCCACCUUGAGGUUCUCAGCGUUCCAGCUUGCGGCAUGUAUCGGGUAGCUUCAGGAGGAAUUCCAUAGCACUGUACAAAAAGGCUGCGAAAUUCUCGCAACAAAAGGCUGAUUUCGCAACACUUUGGAGUGAUCUGCUUGCAAUGGCUGUAACUCCUUCGUUUCAACUCCGAAUCGUGCACCGUUUGAAGCAUUCGAUUCUUGACUUCCUGAGCUUUGAAAUGGUAUAUAGAAUGUAGAAAAUGGACUUCGGAAAGUGCUCCAAAAGUGCGCAAGAAGACUGCAGCUAGCUUUCCUCUGUUUUCUUCACUAUGUUUUUCCUCUCUCCUUGCUUCUCUCCUUGCAUACUUUGAACGACUUUGGCAAAGGGCUAUGGAGCUCCAAAGCUUGGUUCUUCUUGAAUUUGAGCUCUUCAUUGCUUUGCCAUGGAUUCCAAAUAACUCUCCUCAAUCUUGGAUUGUUUUGGUGAUCAAAUUACUAACAAAAACACCAAAACUUACACAAUUUGAUUAGAAAUGAUUGCAAGGGUCCUUAACAUGUUAAUUGGGUUAAAAGGCAAUAACUACUACUCAAAAGUGUUUAAAAGGAUUAAUUACAAGCUACAAAAUAGCACUUUUUGAGUAGUAAUCACUCCCCCCAACCGACAUAUUGCUAGUCCCUUAGCAAUGGAGGAGAUAAAAACUAAGUAAACUAUAAUAAUAUACAUAAAAGGGAUCAUGCAAAUCACUCCAAAAAAUGAUAUGAGUGGCAUGAUGGACAUCCAUGGAUCAAUAAAGAUGUAAAACUCAACCUAUAAUUAGAGUUGUCAAAGCAUUCACUUGAUCAUAGAGUACAAAGAAUGGAUAUUAUGCAAGUUUAAGCAUCAAAAGAAUUUCCACUCUCAAAAGAUCCAAAUCACAUUCUUCCACUAAAAGCUAAGUGUUAAUGUGAUUAGCUUCCAAGUAUAGUAUGGAUAACUAUCAUCUCCCCCCAACCUAAGUCUUUCUUUAAGCUUAGCAAAAUUAACCAUCUCUUGAUAGGCUAGGAACGCACCUCUUAUUCACAAUUCUUUUCACUUACUAAACUUAACCAAUUCACCCAUGUAACAAGCAGAGGAUCGGUGACUCCCAACCAAUAAAGGCUUAGGGCACCAGGCUUUAAAGGCUUUCGCCACCCCUUCGGACCAUGCUCAGGUUUCAAGGCAAGUAAAGAAGUUUAUUCUAUUUUUUUUUUCUUUUUCUUUUUCUUUUUCUUUUUCUUUUUCUACAAAGACUCAUUGGUCUUUAUGAGGUGUCCCAACACUAUUAAAGAGAGGUUAAAGGUGUCAAAUUAUGAUUUCUCAAGCUUAGAGGGUGAGAUAGUUUCACAUCUUAUAACCGGAAUCUAAUGUAUGUGUGUGCGAAUAGCUUAAGGUGGAAGAGAUAAGUUUGCAUGCAAUGGAGUUUCAACAAUUCAUCAACUUUUAAAAGAGCAUAAUACAAACUCUAAGACUCCUGUAAUCAAGUUGAAACUCGACUUCUCUCAUUUAAUUUUUGAGAGUUAAUCCUUAAUAUCCAUGGAGUUUAAAGCAAAAAUUUUAAAAUUUAAGCAAAAAGCAACUAAAUUACCAAAAUAACUUAGCAUUAUUAACAAUACUUACUUCCUCAACUCUCCCCCCAACCAAGCUGAACAUUGUCCUCAAUGUGACAAAAGCGAUUAAAAAAUAGGGAGGAAGUGGUACCUCCUGAGUGACAUGGAGUUUGAGUCGUGUAGGAGAAACCACAUGUUUCAAAGAAAACAUAAGAGUUAGUGAGUAGAGGAAAUAGAAAAAUGUUAAGUUUAAACAAAAAAAAUGAUGUCUAUGUAUGAUGUAUCAUCAGUAAUACAUCCAAUUCUAGAAUAUAAGACAUCAAAACAUGGAAUUAUGUAUACUAAUAUAAUAUGUAAAGACAAAAAUUAAAGAGAUGAUCAAGUAAUGGUAAGGUCCUGUGGAGCUGAUGUGUCUGUGAUGGCCUCUUGAGUGGGUUGGAUCAAAACUUUGGCCUCUAUUCUGGUAGUCUCCUUAGGUGGCAUAGUCUCCUCAACUAGAGCUCUCAGUUGGUAGCUAUGGGAUUUGAUGGUUUAAGGAGGUCAGUAAUGGAGUGAGAGGCUUGGUGUGUGUGAUCUCAAGGUGCUCGGGGCUCUCCUCUUCAGAUGCAUGGUCGCAGGGCUCUGUUGGCAUUUUAGCAACUUCCCUUGGCUUUGCAAAGUGUUUUUGCAAAUCACCCUCCAUUUCACAAGUCAAUUUCGCAAUUUGAAGGCCAUUUCUAAGCUUGGAGGUGAUUUCGCAACCAUUUCGAAGCUUGGAGAUCAUUUCGCAGAAAAGUGGCAUGUUCACAGACCAUUUUUGAAGCUUGGAGCUCAUUUCAUAGCCAUUUCGCAGCUCAAAAGUGAUUUCGCAGCCCAAAAUUGAUUUCGUAGUUCAUUUCGCAGCUUCAAAAUGAGGAGAACUGUGCUGCAAAAUGGCACUCGUGUGCCAAAGUUGGUUUCGCAGCUGCGAAACACCCUUCCAAAUGGUGUCUCGGCUGCGAAAUUCUCGCUCAGCUUUGUGCGCUUGUCUUCAAACGACCAUAACUUCUUCAUUUCACCUCCAAAUUGUGCACCGUUUGAAGCUCUGGACUUCUGACUUCCCAAGCUUUGAAACAAGAUAUUGUAUGCAUAAUUUGAGCUCCAGGAAGUGCUUCAAAAAUGUGUCCAACAGUAGCGAAAUGGAGGUGCGACAUUUCCGUUCAUGGUUUGCAUAGUCAUCUUCAAACAGCCAUAACUUUUCCGUUUCAAAUCCAAAUCUAGUACCGUUUGAAGCUAUGGACUCAUGACUUCCCAAGCUUUCAAAAGAGAUAUUGCACGCAUAAUUUGAACUUCGGUAAGUGAUCGAAAUGUUUCCAACAGUUGCCGAAAUGGGGGUGCGGCUGUGAAAUUGGGAUUUUUCACAUUUUGGAACUUCGCAGCCGUUUCGCAGCUGCGAAAUGAGAGUCACUGUGCUGCGAAAUGGCACUCAUGUGCCAAAACCAGCUUCGCAAUUGCGAAAUACCCUGCGGAAUGGGACUUUUGGUGCGAAAUCAGGCUUUACCACUUCGCAAUGCGUUUCGCAGCUGCGAAAUGGAUGCUCCUGUGCUGCGAAGUGGCACUCGUGUGCCAAAAUGGGUUUCGCAGCUGCGAAAAUUUUCGCAGAGACUUCUACAGUGUUGCGGAAUGGUUUGGCAACAAAAUGCCAAUUUCGCAGAGGCUGCGAAAUCUCGCAGACCCUUGUUUUUCCCCUGUUUUCGCUCCGUUUGACUCCAAUUUUGCUCCGAUUUUGCUCCGAUUUUUUUUCUUCAAUUUCUUUGCAAUUCCUCUUGAUUUUGAUCAUCCAAAAACCUAUAUUACAUCAAAACAAACUAGAAUUAAAGCAUUGAAAUCAAAAUUAAAGCAUUGAAAUCAAAAUUAAAACAAGAAAAAAAACAAAACAAAAAGAUAUGGACUAGCUAGUCUUUAAAAAGACUAAGUCCAUCAAAAAAUUUGCUCCUGAUUUAGCUUGCCCGGAUCCCAAAUGAAGUUUGCAUCCUUCAAUUGAGACUUGGUUUGUAUGAUUUUCCCAGACAAAGCUUGGAGAAAAGGUGGAGGCAUGUGUUUCUUCAUCAAUUCUUCCUUGAUGACUAUCCUCUGUGGUUCUCUCUGUACAUUAACAUCAUAGCCAUCUUUCUCUAUGCUUUUCCCCUUUUUCUUUCCUUUGAUUUCCUCCCUCUUUUCUUUCUCUGUUUCACUCUCUACCUUAUGCUCUAGCUUGCAUGUGGGCAAAUCAACCUCUUUACCACUCCUCAGAGUGAUCACUUCCUUGACUUCCCUCUUUUGUGAAGGUUCUCCCUCCUCAACCUCCAUUUCAUGGAUACUCAUGGAAUUUUGAUAAGGUUGAGAAGGAGAGUUUUCUUCCUCUUGCAUUGUGUUGAGGUUGGCAAGCCUUGAGAUUGAAUCUUGGAGAAUAUCUAACUUUUGGGCCAUAUCAUUUUGCAUUUCAUCCAUCCUUUUAUUCAAAGUACUCUCCAUACUGUCAAUUCUUUGAUUGAUUUGAGCAUUGAUGGCUUCUUGCUUUUCAAUAAAAUCUCCCACGACCUUGCAAAGAUUCACCAUAGUUUGUUCAAGGUUUGAGGCUUGCUGUGGUGCUUGAGCAGGUUGCUGAUACUGAGGUGGCUGUGGUUUCCAAGAGAAAUUUGGAUGGUCCCUCCAAUUGGAAUUGUAAGUGUUGCAAUCACCUAACAUUUCCCUCUCGGCUGGAAUGGUAGGACACUCUUCCACCAAGUGCUCAUAUGAUAGACAAAUGGCACAAGGCAUAGCUUGCAAUGGUGUCUGAGAGAUGGCUUGCACUUCUUGCAUCUGGUUCAUUUCUAGCUCAUCCAAUCUCCUUUCCAUAGCUGCAAUCUCUGCCUUCAUGUCUAUGCCAUCAUUCAAAAUAUACAUCUCACCCUUAGCAUUAGGUUGAGACGUCAUUCUUCCCAUAUCUCUAGCAUUUGGUUCAUCCCAUCCUCUUGAGACUUCAGCCACAUAACCCAUGAAGUUCAUGGCUUCCUCUGCUAUCUCGUAUUCAAUAUGGCAUGCACAACUAGCAACUUGUGAAUUAAAAACAGAGAACACAAAAGAAAACAAAAGAAAAACAAUUCAAAGAAAGAAAAUUAAGGUAAACUAAAAACUAAAUAAAAGGUAUACUAAAAUAUGAACAAUAAAGAAAUAAAAAGAGUUAGUAAAAGGAAAAGAAAAGUCACCAAACUUGUGAUGAAGAUCACAAGUACUCUAAAAGGGUGAUAUCACUGUAAAGUGGCACCAUCCCCGGCAACGGCGCCAUUUGAUUCGUCCCUAGCAGCGGCACUGGCAAUGGCACCAUCUGAUUCGGGGUUCGAUCCCCGGCAACGGCGCCAUUUGAUUCGUCCCUAGCAGCGGCAGUGGCAAUGGCACCAUCUGAUUCGGGGUUCGAUCCUCGGCAACGGCGCCAUUUGAUUCGUGCCCAAUUGGUGUCUCAACUGAUUUGUGUCCAGCUGGUGCUCCUUGAUUGAGGGAGUAAUCAACAAAAUUUAUAAUCUAUAACACCAUAUACUAGGGUAGCAAAGAAAAAGCUACUAUAGUAUAGUGGCUCUAGGAUCGUUCACUGGGAUGGGUUUUCACUUUACAAAUGAUAUCAAUUCAAAGCUGAAUUGGUGCCUUUUCAUUUCAAGGUUAGCUUUAAAAGAAAACAUAAAGAUGUUUGAAAGAAAAGAAUUUGGUUUUAAACUAACCAAAAGUAGUAACUGAUUUUACUUAUAAAGAAAGAUGUUUCUUGGAGUUCAGAUCACUAGGCUCAGAUUCCUCAUACAAAAAGGGAGUUCCGGUCACUUGUUUAUUUUCCUCGCAUUAGAGAAUUAACAUAUAGUUAAUUCUCUAACCGGUAUUGUACAGAUGCUUCCCAUUAAUGGGUUCAAACACUAAAUCCCUCUCACUGAUGCAACUUGCAAUGGUUCAUGCCNNNNNNNNNNNNNNNNNNNNNNNNNNNNNNNNNNNNNNNNNNNNNNNNNNNNNNNNNNNNNNNNNNNNNNNNNNNNNNNNNNNNNNNNNNNNNNNNNNNNUAUCUAGAAAUCUACUUCAAGUCACUCCAAAGCUCGCAAGGGGUAAACUAGUGCAUUUCCAUGGUUGGAAAUCACUUGCCUUACCAAGUGUUGGCCCAGGUGACUCUAAGGUGUUUUAAGUUAACUAAAAACAUAGAAAUCACUAACGGGUUACACUUUCUCUUCAUUAAAAACUAAAACAACAAAACUUCCCAAUUAUGCAUGUGGAAACUUACCCGGCUUUCCUCACUCCAAGAGACAAAAAGCUUAGCCUCUCAUCCUCUGUGGAAAAAUCCUCAGAGUUUGGUUGGCUAGAAAAUGAAAAUGAAAGAGAAGACAAGAAUAUAUAUCAAAAACAGAGCAAGUGCUCUGUUCGUUGAUUCUAUAUAUUGGAUUACAUAUAUGAUCCUCCUCUUUUACAGUGGAUGCAAGGAAAUAUAUAUAGAGGAGUUUUUCCAACCUUCCCAACUAAGAAAUCUUAUGGUUGGUGGAUUACAAGGAGAAGAAUGGAAAUUUAUACAAAAAUAUCUGAAGAAAAAUAUCCAAAAGAGUCGGUGUACAAAUAUCAGGAAGCACUAAGGACAUUUCGCAGGUGAAAAUGGUGUCUGCGAGAUUUCGCAGACACUCAAGAGGGCUGCGAAAUAUUUUCGCAACAACAAGUUAAACUCGCAGGGCUGCGAAAUUGGCUUCCACCUUGAGGUUCUCAGCGUUCCAGCUUGCGGCAUGUAUCGGGUAGCUUCAGGAGGAAUUCCAUAGCACUGUACAAAAAGGCUGCGAAAUUCUCGCAACAAAAGGCUGAUUUCGCAACACUUUGGAGUGAUCUGCUUGCAAUGGCUGUAACUCCUUCGUUUCAACUCCGAAUCGCGCACCGUUUGAAGCAUUGGAUUCUUGACUUCCUGAGCUUUGAAAUGGUAUAUAGAAUUUAGAAAAUGGACUUCGGGAAGUGCUCCAAAAGUGCGCAAGAAGACUGCAGCUAGCUUUCCUCUGUUUUCUUCACUAUGUUUUUCCUCUCUUCUUGCUUCUCUCCUUGCAUACUUUGAACGACUUUGGCAAAGGGCUAUGGAGCUCCAAAGCUUGGUUCUUCUUGAAUUUGAGCUCUUCAUUGCUUUGCCAUGGAUUCCAAAUAACUCUCCUCAAUCUUGGAUUGUUUUGGUGAUCAAAUUACUAACAAAAACACCAAAACUUACACAAUUUGAUUAGAAAUGAUUGCAAGGGUCCUUAACAUGUUAAUUGGGUUAAAAGGCAAUAACUACUACUCAAAAGUGUUUAAAAGGAUUAAUUACAAGCUACAAAAUAGCACUUUUUGAGUAGUAAUCACCAUAUCUUUUUAGGUCCUUAAGGGUUAGUGACCUUGGAUUUUUCAAUCCAAAUCUUUUUAGGUUUUGCAUUUGACGCAUCCACUAUCGAAGAACCACUUAUCCUUCUUUGAACCCUACAAAAUAAAAUUCAAGUUGAUUUAGGUACCCAUAUCUUUUUAGGUCCUUAAGGGUUAGUGACCUUGGAUUUUUCAAUCCAAACAUUUUUAGCUUUUGCAUUUGAAUUCUUUUGAGAAUCAUUUUUUAAGGGGCAUGUACAACUAAUGUACCCUCCUCUUCCACAAAAGUUGCAAGUUGUAGAAGGACUUGCACUUGAGGAUUGUUUUACAAAGUAGUUUUUAAAAUACUUUUGAUUUUUUGAAGAUUUGAAUCUUAGCCUUUGUUUGUCAAAAACACAUUUUUGGCUAGCUAUAAUCAUUUCGAAAGAUUUUUGUCCACAAGAGAAGAUUGAAAGAGAGGAUGUCAACCAUUCAUUUUUAUUUUUCAAAAUCUCAUUUUCAUUUCUCAAAAUCUCAUUUUCUUUUUCAAGAUGAUUUUUAUAAAUUUCAACAAUUGAAAUUUUUUAUUUUACUUCUUCAAGUUCUUUUUCAAGUUCUUGAAUUUUCUUUUUAAGAGAAUUAUUUUUCAAACUAAGUUUUUCAAAAUCCUCAUAUAAUUCUUCAAAAACAUCCUGCAUAUCUUCAUCACUAAAGUUAGAGUUUACCUCAUCAAGUUCAUUUAUUGCCAUGAAGUACAUGUUUGCCACUUCUUUAUCCUUUUCUUCUUCAGAGGAUUCUUCACUUUCACUCUAAGUGACUAUCAUUGUCUUUUUCAUUCUUCUCUUGGCUUCACUUUUGUAGAGAGGACAAUCAUAUUUAAUGUGUCCCGAUUUUUUGCAUUUGAAACACACCAAAUAUCUUUUCUCUUCCUAUUUCUCCUUGUCACCAUGAGAUGAAGAUUCCUUUUUAGAAAGGUCUCUUCUAGAGGUGAACUUUCUUCCUCUAAACCUUUCGUCCCUCAUGUAUUUAUUGAGCUUUCUUAUGAUGAGGGCUAAAUCAUCAUCUUCUUCACUUGGUUUUUCUUCUUUAACAUCUUCUUUUUUCUUAGUUGUAGCUUUGAAAGUUAUGUUCUUCUUCUUUUUGUCUUCUCCAUCUUGUAGCUUCUUUGCCAAAUUGAUCUCAUAUGUCAUUAAUGACCCUAUGAGCUCCUCCAUAGGUAACUUGGUCAAGUCUUUUGCUUCUUGAAUUGUAGUGACCUUUGUAUGCCACUUUGAUGGGAAUGACCUCAAUAUCUUCAUCACCUUUUCGGAUUCCUUGCAGGUCUUUCCCAAUGCUUCAAGACCAUUGACAAUGUCAGUGAACCUGGUGAUCAUCUCAACAAUAGUCUCAUUUUCUUUUAUAAAAAACAAUUCAUAGUUAUGAACAAGUAUAUUUAUUUUUUACUAUUUCACUUGAUUUGUUCAUUUAUGAGUUAUUUCAAGAAAUCUCCAAAUUUCUUUAGCCGAUUUACAUUGACAUAUUCUAUUAUAUUCAUUUUUAUCCAUAGCACAUUGCAAAGUAAAAAUGGCCUUAGCAUUUAAUUGAAAAUUUCUUCUAUCAAACUCAUUCCAUUCUUGCUUGGGUUUUGGAACCAAGACUCCAUCAACUAGUUUUGUAGGAAAAGUUGGGUCAUCUUCAAUGACAUCUCAUACGUCUAAAUCGGUUGAUUGUAAAUACCAAGUUGUAGACCCUCCAUUUUGUCCCUUUAGCACAUGUCUUUAAGUUCACUUUCAGUAUUCCACAAUGUUUCUUUGAUGGCCCAUUACUACUCGUGUAACUUACCUUUUCUAAGCCACUUUGGAGACUUUGGUUGAAGGGUUUAUCCGGUUCCACAUUACGACCUUGCCUACCCUUCAAGUUUAGACUAGGCUUCACUUAGAUACACUUGGCCCAUUAGGCACCACCUUAGGCCCACUUAGAUUCACCCUGACCUACUUAGAUCCACCUAGACACCUUCUAAAUUGCACACAUUCACCUUAGGUCACUUAGGUCACUUAGGCACCUUUUCAUAAUAGGUCACUUGGACACUUCUUUUGGCAUGGUCCACUUAGGCGUGUUCUUGAUUUUGGUUACUUCCUUUUCUGAGAUAAGAUGAGUAUUGGGUUGACUACAUAUUGCAUGAAAUGAAUAUUUUUUAUUUUUGGGGGUUUGAGUUUGACACUUAAAUUGUUCUGAUCCAUCGCAUUAAUUUAAUUUCUUGUUUUUUUCUAAUUGCAUACAUCUAAUAUUUAUUUUUGUUACCCUUAUCAAUUUAUUUGUCUAUUUACUCACCUAUUUAUACAUUUUUUAAUUCCAAUUAAUUAACAUCUUAGAUUUUUUGUGGCAUGUGAUUUGAUUUUCGAUUUUUAUUUUAUUUUAUUUCCAAUCACAGGAUUUUCUUAUUUCCAUUUUAUUUUUUAAUUUUGCAUGUCAUUUGGAGUGGUCAAGGAGAGGAGGUCACAGCUAAAGAAGAGCAGCCUGCAAGGUGGAAGGACCCACAUACACUCGCAGAGAAAACAAAAACGGAAGCCAUUUAGCCUUUUUUUUUUCUUUUUCUUUUUAUUACUUCCUUUUUUCUUUAUAUAGGAUGGGUGCCAAUUCUCGUUUUGAUUCCAUUUAUUCUCUCUAUUCAUUUCUCCUGGAAUGACCCAACUUCUUCGCUACAUCUCUCUCUCGUGAAGGGUUCAAGGUUUUCUUCGCUACUUCAGAUCUUGCAGCAGCUCGAAUCCUCACCGAUAUUGGAGCGCUCUCACCUGUCAACUCUCAAUUCUCAAUUCAAUAACAUCUCCGCAUUGGAUUUCAAUUCUGGAUCGUCGACCUAGCCGUCGUGGUUGUCGCAAUCGCCACUAUCACCGCCGGAGGUGCCUCUUUGGAUAUUUUUCUCUUUUCCGGCACUAUUUGUACGUUCCCAAACAAGAUGUGUUGUGACGAGGUGUACGGCGUCAAAGCUCGACAACAAAGACGUUGUGCAGCAGUGCAAGGAGCGGGGAUGCCUCAUGAAGGAGGGUCGCCUAUGUCCACCAUCACCGUUCCACCGUUCACGCUGACUACUAUCGUUCGUUUAGCAUCACUGGAUCUGCUCUCUCCAACCGCCGCCCCCUACACCAACGUUCAGUCUCAAUUUCCUCUCAUCUUAAUAGAGCUCACUACUAUUAUAGAAUCGCUGGAGUUAUCGCCUACGUUGGCACCUAAAAAGCGGCGCCGAAGAUGUUGCUCUGUCGUUACAUGCUCUGUCUCCGUCCUCGCCAACUGCUCCUUCGUCAUCACCACGCUUUGGAUCACCGCUGACGCCCUCUCCUACACCAUUUUCGUCUGACGUUAGGGAUGUGCAGCACGUGAGUACCGAGAGCGUAAAUUCAGAGGGGGGAGAGUCAUCCAGAGGAUUCAAAGGUGGAUAGAAAGUCAAAAUAGCGCUUGGAGUCAUCGCCUAUGUCGCUACGCUCAGAUCCAAUUUAGCGUUUCAAUCCUCUUGAGUCGUUUGUGGGCGUUUUUGGCUCCUUCUUCGUUGUCAUAUGUUUCAUUGGAUGUUUCUUUUUCUUGAAUUACCAUGCUGUCAGUCAGAGGCUUCACACUCGUACAUUGCCUGGGAGGCUUUCUUGGUUGGGAUUUGAUGAGUCGCAGUUGUCCUCCCCGUUGUCGUUAGGGGCGAUUGUCGAUAUACUGCUGGGGUUUCUUGAAGAGGGUGUUGAUGGGUGUAACGUGUUUGAUGGGAGUUGGGUUUGGAAUGAGAGCUACCCUCUAUAUCAAUCCUAGAAUUGUUCAUUGCUAGAUGAUGGGUUUCAUUGUUUUGAAAAAUGGUAGUCCUAAUAGUUUCUACAUCAAGUGGCGUUGACAGCCUAAGUAUUGUAACUUACAAGACACGGUUUGCACAUGUGCACUUUCCAUAUAUCUGUCGGGAUUAAAAAAAGAAACAGAGUAUCCCAUGGAAAUGAUAGGUUGCCAUAUAAAUAAGAGAGGGACGAGAAUUAAAGGGGGGAAAUGUUUUUUUUUUUUUUUUUUUUUGUCGGGGAAAAAUAGGCUAAGGAAAUUUUUUUCAGAGAGAGCACACAGAAUUUUGGAGGAGAGCGAGGGAUUUCAGACGAAGAUCGGGCUGCCACUUUAAUCAUCAAGAGAGGAUUUUUCUUUCACUUCAUAGGUUAGUUUUCUAUACAGUAUUUUUAUUUAGCCUAGAUUUGUUUUUUGAAAUUUUAAUUUUUGAUUAAUUCUUUGUGUUAAAGUUUAUAUCUUUAAUUCCGGGUUAAUUAGUUUAGUUUUCAUUUAUUUUUUAGUUUGAAUGUGUUAGUGAUUUUAAUUCAUUAGUUUAAAUAAUCUUGUCAGAUAAAGUUUAUAUUUUUUUUUUAAUUCCGGAUUAGUUAAGUUUUAGUUUAUGUUUUAGUUUGAAUGUGUUUGUGAUUUUAAUUCAUUAGUUUAAAUAAUCUUGUGAGAUGAAGUUUAUAUUUUUAAUUUAGGAUUAGUUCAGUUUUAGUUUGAAUGUGUUUGUGAUUUUAAUUCAUUAGUUUAAAUAAUCUUCUGAGAUAAAGUUUAUAUUUUUAAUUUAGGAUUAGUUCAGUUUUAGUUAAUAUUUUAGUUUGAACGUGUUUGUGAUUUUAAUUCAUUAGUUUAAAUAAUUUUGUGAGAUAAAGUUUAUAUUUUUAAUUUCAGAUUAGUUUAGUUUUAGUUUAUGUUUUAGUUUGAAUGUGUUAGUGAUUUUAAUUCAUUAGUUUAAAUAAUUUUGUGAGAUAAAGUUUAUAUUUUUAAUUCCGGAUUAGUUUAGUUUUAGUUUACGUUUUAGUUUGAAUGUGUUAGUGAUUUUAAUUCAUUAGUUUAAAUAAUUUUGUCAGAUAAAGUUUAUAUUUUUAAUUCCGAAUUAGUUUAGUUGUAGUUUAUGUUUUAGUUUGAAUGUGUUUGUGAUUUUAAUUCAUUAGUUUAAAUAAUUUAGUGAGAUAAAUUUUAUAUUUUUAAUUUGGGAUUAGUUUAGUUUUAGUUUAUGUUUUAGUUUGAAUGUGCUAGUGAUUUUAAUUCAUUAGUCUAAAUAAUCUGGUGAGAUAAAGUUUAUAAUUUUAAUUCCGGAUUAGUUUAGUUUUAGUUUAUGUUUUAGUUUGAAUGUGUUUUUUAUUUUAAUUCAUUAGUUUAAAUAAUCUUAUGAGAUAAAGUUUAUAUUUUUACUUCCGGAUUAGUUUAGUUUUAGUUUAUGUUUUAGUUUGAAUGUGUUUGUAAUUUUAAUUCAUUAGUUUAAAUAAUCUCGUGAGAUAAAGUUUAUAUUUUUAAUUCCGGAUUAGUUUAGUUUUAAUUUAUGUUUUAGUUUGAAUGUGUUAGUGAUUUUAAUUUAUUAGUUUAAAUAAUCUUGCGAGAUAAAGUUUAUAUUUUUUUGGAUUAGUUUAGUUUUAGUUUGAAUGUGUUAGUGAUUUUAAUUCAUUAGUUUAAAUAAUCUUGUGAGAUAAUUUUUUUUUAAUUCCACAUUAGUUUAGUUUUAGUUUAUGCUUUAGUUUGAAUGUGUUAGUAAUUUUAAUUCAUUAGUUUAAAUAAUUUUAUUAGAUAAAGUUUAUGUUUUUAAUUCCAAUUUAGUUUUGUUAUAAUUUAUUUUUUAGUUUGGAUAUAUUUGUGGUUGUAAUUCAAUAGUUUAAUUAAUCUGGCUAAAUAAACUUCAUGUUUUUAAUUAUAAUUUAGUUUAGUUUUAAUAUGUUUUUUUUUUUUACUUUGAGUGUGUUUAUGAUUUUAAUCCAAUAGUUUAAUUAAUCCCAUUACAUAAAGUUUAUGUUUUUUUAAUUCUAAUUGAGUAUAGUUUCAAUUUAUUUUUAUUUUUUUUAAUCUAGGUGUACUUGUGUGUUUAGCCAAUCCUAUGUUAAUUCUUGAUUGUUAUGUUCAAUUUAUGUGCUUCUUGAAUACUAGUCUUUAAUUUUUGGUGAAUGUCUCAUUAGCUUAUUUGAUCUAAGUUUGAAUAAUUUAUUGCUUUGAUGGUCUCUCAUAAAAUUUACUUGUCAAAGGCCAUUGGAAAAUAGUGACGAUUGGUCUCCAUUCUCACCACUUUAGUUUGCUCGAAUUGUCCAAAUUUUCACUUUGUGAAUUCGUUUUCUUUUGUUUUGCUAGGUAUUUUAUUUCUUAUGUUUUGUUAUUUUCACAUAAAUUCCCUUUAUUUUAAAAUCAAAUGUUUUCCUCAAAAGAUACCCUUGAAAAUUUUAUGUUAAAAAAUUCAUUUAAAGUCCUCAGGAUCAAAAUCUCUUUUUUAAAAAUAAAAUGCAAUCAUAUCUUGAUCAGUUUGCAUCCUUUUCGGCUUCCAAUGAAAAUUUUGGUUUUGAACAAAACACGAAUCAAAGCUUGUGGUCCCAAAUAAAUGGGACAAUUCUAGGCUAAAUUCGUGUAUAUCAAUUGGGGAAUUGGUGAAACCCCUACAUAAGAAAAUCUUUUCAAAACUUAUUUUUCUAUCACCCUUGCUAUUUGUUGUAAUCAUGUCUAUUUAUUUUUUAGGAAUUAUAUACAAGAUGUAUGUGAUAAUUGAUGAUUUCGUAUACUUUGAUAAUUUUUGUUAUGCUAAUUAGAUAUGCAUGUUAGGAUUUCUUGUUUUAUUAUUUAUUAUCUAACCCCCCAUGUCCUAAGAAAGCGUAUUAUGAGUUAUCUAUGCUAUCCAGGUACGCCCCCUAUCACCUACCUUCUAAAUUCUAUAAAUAUGAUCGUCAUUGUGAAUUAUGCUUAUGUUUGAUAGUGCUUGAGUGUUUUGAUAUACAUGUUUCAUUAUUCGAUUAUUUCUAAUAAAACGCAUGUUGGAUAAUAUACUAUUUGAACUAACUUAAUUUGAUGUCUUGUGAUAGCGCUUAAGAAGCAGUCCAAGUACACACCCGAAAUCUUCUUCAUGAUUGUGAUUGGUUUCCUUAUUUAGCAUGUUAUUUUUUAAAAUCACCUAGCCUACCUAGGUAUCUAUAAUUAACCAAUUAAUUGCCACAUUUCCCUAAACUUAGUCAGUAGAAACCUUUGUAGGGCUUAAAGGGGUGCUACUUUUUAGAGGUACCUUCCUAAUAGGUAACCUGAUCCUCGGAUUUAGACUCAGUUUUUUCAAAGACAUGCUUUUCCAAAAACUAUGAAGUCAUUUUUUUAGGGUUUUAUUUCUUGUUUUAUUUUUCCUUUAAAAUAAAAUAAAAUAAGUGGCGACUCCGACUUUUCUAAAAUUAUUUUUUCACAAAUAAAAUCGAGUCUCGCCAAUUGAGUGGGAGAUCACGUGAAAACUGCAGGUCCACACAAGUCAUUCUAGUUUUCCAAUAGGGAUAGUCGGUUCCCAUAAAAAAUGGAGCUCUAUGUUUUGUAAAAUUUUCAAACUCGGAUUUUAUUGUGGUUCAGCACUUCCUUGCCUACGUCCACUCUCCUCAAUCUCCUAACCAAGUGAGAGUUCCACUAACUUGAAGCUUCAACCAAGCUUCCAAUCUUUUUACACUUGGAUUGCGGCUCCAAUUAGCUCUUGCACAAUCUCUUCAAGAUUCAAACCUCUUGAAGGCUUUAACACUCAGUUUUUACAAGAAUGAAUCCCUCAACCUAUCUCAAUGAUAUCUCAAAUACAAAACAAAGCUAGGAUGACUCACAAGGGUGUACUAAAAGAUAUGCAAGUGAGGAUUUAAUGCACUAAAAAGGAAAUGAGAGCUUUUAAGGCAAGAACAAGUAGGUAGACAAUUGAUUGCAAGUGUCUUUCUGUCAUAAUGAAGUAGAGCUCUCAAUUUAUAGGUUUCUAAGCUUGGGAGCCAAGAACAGCAAAAAACAGCCUCAACCGGUCGAGCUGGGGGUCGACCGGUUCACUAGCCGUUGGAGCAUUUAAUGUUUUGGCAGGUUACCAUUGUCUCGAUUGGACCUCGGCCAGAGGUCGACCGGGAAGGAGGAAACCUCAACCAAGAAAGGAAGGAUACUGAAAAAGAGAGAGUGAUUUUGACACUCCUCGACCGGACCUCGACCGCACAAGGGCAACCGGUCGAUUGGUUCCCCAACCAAUUGAGCCGGUUGGCCAGAGCCUCGACCGGUUCAGCCUUUUGGCCCCGAAAACCUAUCUUUUUCACUUCUUUUCUUUUCUAACACUUAGGCAAGGUCUUUAGGUAAAUUAAUAUGCCAAUUUUGAAACGUUUUGCCUAAGGUACAUUUGAUAAAACUCGGGUUUUAAUGAAAUUACAACUAUAGAGAACAAAUCGAGUUUUCCAAAGAUGCAUAAAAAGAUAUGUAAACCCUAAGUGCACUCAUGCAUUCAUCUUACAUUUUUUUUUCUUAUGAUUAAAAGUCUUCCGAAAGUCCUGAUCUUGUAUCCAUUUGGUCAUUUGAUGAAUUUCCGAAUUUAUACCUGAGAUUCUUUACCAUUCAAACCAAUUAGUCACUUAACAAUGGUUUGUUAUCAUCAAAACCUGAUUAGGAGAACCCAUUGGGUUAACACUCUUUUUUACGUGUCUUUGUUUUCCAUAAUGGUAACAUUUGACAUUCUUCUUACCUUAAGGCUUUAACUUACUCUAUUUGUGACUCCCACUAGAACCACGUUUUGUUGAUCUUCCUUUAGAAAUAAUUAGAGCCUCAGUUUGUUGAGAAGAUGAUAUUUGUAUUCCUUAUUUUUAUGCCUACUUUCUUCCUCAAGUAUAGUAGUCGCAACAUUAUUAAAGACUAGUAAAAAACUGAAACACCCAAAGUGGGGGUGAAUGAGUGAUUUUAAAAUUUAAAAUAAAGAUUUAUAUAUAUUAUCCCCAAUUUUUAUCUUGAGAAGUACCAGUGAUACCUUGUAUAACCUAAUAGGCUAUACUUGAAAUCUUUAAGUAUAAAAAUAUGAUUUUUAUCUUCUAGGGAUAACCUAUGAGAUGUUAGGGUAACAAUGAUAAUCAAAUAUUCAAUGAUAUAACAAUGAAAUGAAAAGAUAUGCAGUGGGCAUGAGAUUUUUAUGUGGAAAACCCUCAUACUAACUAUAAAGGGAAAAAAAAAAACCCCCCACAAAAUCUAAGACCUACUAAUCUAAAUCCAUUAUGUGAAAUUAGGUUACACAUAUUUACUUGAUCAUCUUACCUUAAAGAUUUUCUUUUCAGUACCUACAACUUGAUUCACAUUCGCAAUGCAGCAACCUUCAAUUGCUCCAAUGGAUCACUUUAGCCUCGUCAAAGGGAUGAAGGUCUUCAACCCAAGAUUCAUAAAUCAAAUCCUUAAAUGAGAGAUUGGGAAUGGUGUGGUACUUUAGGCUUUCUUCUCAAUGAGAACCUCUCAAUAAGUUUGAGAUCACUUUCCAAUCUCCAGAAUCUCUAAAACGAUCUUUUAAGCCUCAAGGGGUUAUAAUGAGGUAUUUAUAAGAGUAAAUCCUGAAGAGGUUUGGUUUUAGAAGACUUCCAAAUCAUAUUUGCAUGAAAGAAUCUUAGUUGAAAAUUCGUGACCACUCUAGCCUACUUUGGUGGCUUGAACGCUUCAAGUGCUCAAGUAGUAUGGAACGCUUGAGCGGUCAUCAUUUAAGUGUUGUUCCCCGCUUAAGCAUUCUCUAUUUUUCAAAAAAAUUAUAAAAAUUAAUUUUAAAUUCAAAACAAUUAUCAAUCCUCUUUAUACCUCAAUAGAGUCUACCACAAGCCAAAGAUUUUUAAACAUAUCUGUGACUUCCCAGUUGGACGAAUGGCAACUCUUGAUCUUCAAUGGAAAGCAAGUCACUAUCUAAAAAGACUUCUAUAUUCAAACAUUAAAAAAAAAACAAAAUUAUUAACAAUUAAACAAGACUCUAUCUCCUAACAACUAGCAUUAUCCUCAAAGCACCAUUGGCCAUAUUUAUGAUGAGAUGAUCAUAUGAGUCAGGUAGACUUUGGAAUAGAAGUUCAACACAUUCUUUCUCUUCUAUGUUAUGCUCCAUAGCUAACAGUUGAUAGAACAAAAAUUUUAGAGUGUUAUUGUGUUUAGUCAUCGAAGUAGAUUAUGACAUUCAAAUAGUGUAGAAUUUUCUUUCCAAGAAGAUUUUGUUAUGCAAUGAUUUGGCUUUAUAUAGUUUUGUUGAAGUACUUGUUGUUGCCUUGAGAAGGUGUAGACAUGAGCCCACAUAUGUCAAUUUGAAUUAGCUCCAAUACCUUCUUUGCUCUCCAAGAAACUUCAUUUGGAAAUGAUUGUCUGUGAUGCUUCCCAAUAGCACAACCUUCACAUAUUUCAUUCUUUUUUUCAAUGGUUUAGGCAACCGUUGUACCACAUCUUCCUUUGAUAAAGCAUUUUCAAGCUAUUGAAGUUCAAGUGCCUAAAUCUUCUAUGUCAUAACCAAACUUCAAUAUUUUCCACUCUAAAAUCCACAUUUUCAGCAUAUUUGAAUACAAAUGGAUGCCCAAAUUUUUUUACAAUUAAAGCAUUAAGGCUUCCCUUUGAACCAACAAUCUUUCUUAACAUGAUUGCUUCUUUUAUAAAUACUACACAUUGUGAGUGAUAAGGCUUCUUUGUUAGUGAACUUUCUUCCAUUGUUGAAGUUUUUUUCUACCUCUUCCUCUUCCUCACCCAGUUCUACCACCUUUGGAUAAAUCACUUCUAUUUUCAUUGCUUGUAGGUUUCCUUUCAACUGAUUUUUUAGAAUGCCUCAACAAUCUCUACUCAUAAGUUUUUAAAGACCUAAAUAGCUCUUGUACAUUGAGUUAUGAGAGAUCUUUUGUUUUUUCAACCAUAGCCACAAUUGGGUCAUAUUUAUUAGGUAGGCUGAUCAAAAUUUUCUCAAUAAUUCUUCUGUCACUAAUUUCUUCACCAUGUGACUUCAUUUGAUUUAUGAACUCCAUAAAUCUAGAAGAGAACUCAUUUAGAGUUUAAUUCUCCCUUAUUUUCAUAUUUUCUAGCUCUCUUCUUAAAUAUUGAAGCCUUACUGAUCGGGUUCUUCUAUAUUCUUGGAACUCUUGUUGGAGGAUGUCCCAUGCUUCUUUACCUUUUGAAGCUAGCUCUCAUAAUUCUUGGGAAAACGCUAUUACCAACACCCUAUUGAAUAAAUAGGAGAGCUUUUGCAUCCUUUUUUUUUUCCAAUCUUUCAAUUGAUCUUUUUUAAUUGGAGUUAGUGUAGCUGCAUUUUCAAGUUCAUCAAAACUAUUUUCAACCAAAUCCUAAACAUCUUGAGACAUAAAUAAUGUUUUCAUUUUUAUGCACCAAAAAUCAUAGUUUUCUCCUUCAAAUAAUGGAAUAGAAAGAGGCAUGAAAACUCAUACUUGUAAGAUUUGUGUUGGCCAUUGAUCUACUCUUCAAAUCCUUGGUCCUUCUACUUCAAUGUUGAGGGUUUCUAGCUACAUAAUCUGCUUGCAAAACAACAACAACACUUGCUCUUCAUUUUAUCUUUCCUUGUUUGCCUUCAAAUUUUGUUGCUUCAAUGACCGCCAAUUCAAUUAUAUUGUGGGUUUGGAUUUGGGUCUUCAAGUGAAAAGAAACCCUAGAAUCCUCCUUCUCCAAAAUAGUGGAUAUUUCUUAAAAUUCCAUACAUAAGAGACAUGUUGCAAUAGAUAAGAGGACUUGAAAAAGAGAGAUAGUAUAUAUAUGUUGGUGAGACACCCUGAAAUCUGGGAACAAAAAACUGGAAACAACAAGUUCUUUGAUACUAGUUCUUUUGAUUGAAAGGUGGGUUCAUGAAACGGGUGACUUUGAUACUAGUUCUUUUGGUUAUAGUUUCGACUUGAAAACAGAGGAUGGAUACUGAAAGAAAAUGGAAGAGUAACAGCCGGAAACAAAGAAGUAAAACAGUCCCCCAUAAAACAAAGUUCUUUUGGUUAUAGUUUUUCACUUCGCAUUUCUCUCUUGGAUUUUUUUAUUUUUUUAUUUUUGUUAUAGUUUGCAAGCUACAAAACCAGAUGUUAAUAAAUUUAACUUGAAUAAAUCUCUCCACAUGGGAGCAUAACAACCACUCAAAACAUAAAAAACAAAAAACUAAUUUUUAUAUAAAUGCAACCCAAAUAUGGAAUAGGCACCUUGUGUUACAUCCGUGCUGCUUGUGCAUGCAGCCGUAUUUGCAAUGAUAGCAAGUCUCUUAAUCUCUUUAGUUUGAGUUUGAUAUUUAGGAUUGGGAUUAUAAUUGAAUAAGAAUGAAGGUAACUAGAAAAGUAAAAUCCAAAUGAUGAGAGUGAGUUUGGAUUUCCACGAGAUUCAAUUUGUCAUUCUUAUUCUUAUUCUCAUUUCUAGAAAACGGUCUAAAUGCAGUAAUAAAAAUGACGUGUGGAAAAGUGGGUUUCAUGCAUAAAUUUAAAAAAAAAAUAAAAGAUAAAAACAAGUAAAAUAAAAACUCCUAAAAAUAAUUCAAAUUUUAUGUAUUUUCAAGUAAAAAAUACUUACGAUCGAUGAUCAAAUUUAGUACCUAUGUCAUAUCUAGAUGGUCAAAUUAAGAUAAUACUUUUGAUCAAAAGAUGCACAAAAUCCUAAUUAUUUUUAGGUAAUUAGUAUAUUAAACUUAAAUUUUACAAAUUCUUUGUAUAAAAACAACCUUUUUUGCUUUAUCUGAUUCUAUUCUAUAUUCCAUCAUUUCAAACAUGGGGAAUGAUAAUAUUGUGAGUUAUAUGAACGUAUUAUUGGUCUUCAGUUUCGGUUCUGAAUUUUAUAGUGACAACUACAUGGGAACACAUAAGCAUAAUCAACACAAGGAUAAUAUUUGAAGGACACUCCGACAUCUAAUAGCAAUCACCAUAUAGAGUACAUGGACCCGGAUGGAAAUCAAUGGACAAUAGCAUUCACCAGCACCUCAAGUUUGCAAGCUGGCUUCCUUCCACAUCAUGUGGAUGCAAUGAGGCAAUCAAAUUUUGUUACAUCACACGGAAAAACAGGAAGGGGAAAACAAAGAAAACAAAAUAAAUGAACACACGCAUGAUAUUAUUUCAGUCGCAAGCAACCUGCAUGCAUCAUAUGAAAAACAGAAGCAGAGGCUUAGUAGAGUGCGCUUAUGGCGUUCUCGUCAUGGCAGCACCCGAAAGUGAUGUACUUCUCCAUGAUCCGGAGGCACUCUGGGCACCUGAUCUUCUCUGGAAUCCUUCCAACUUCGCUCGGGAACUCAAAGCGGCAGCAGGGCUGAGAAUCGCUAUGAAGCUUGCUAUGGAAAUCCAUGCAAGCAAUAUCGAAGCCCUUUGGAGGCACGUCGUCUUUCCAUAAAUUGUACUCGGUAAAGGUGGGCAAAACAGUGCUGCUGUGGCCAUUGACGAACACAAAAGACCCCUUGCUCAGUACAGCCCAUCCUCCUUCUUUGUCAUAGCUGAGAAGUUUCUUGAUUUCCCGCAACAUGGAGUCAUCAUCGUCGCCCCUCCCUAGCUGGAUCUUGGAGAACAACAUGCUUUCCAAUCGGGUCCAGAAGAACCAAACCAUGGUGAGGUCUUGCCAGCAGUAGCUGAGAUUAUCCGUGGUGAUGCUUGUUAUGCAUUUCCGAACUUGCUCUCUCUUGUUGCUCUUUCCCACGUACACCAUCUCUAAGGGGAUCCGUGCAGCCGAUGCAACUGCCCUUGCUGUGGUUGUGAAUUUUCUGAUCCACUCCAUGUCAGUCCCUCCAUACAAGUAAAUGAAUUUUCCUUCUUUGACCUGAUGGAACAAAAACAUUCCCAGGGUAUUUUAAAAAUGUUCACGAUUGGUCUCGUAUUAGGGAAAAGUGAGGUCAUUCAUGCACAUCUAAAUAUGUAUUUAGAUUGGUAAAGGUGAAUUACCCAGUUCAGUACAGUUGGGUCAAUGCCAUCCACCAGCAGCUCAAGCCUCCAAGUCUCUUCCUUCCACAGAGCUUCCUCCCUCAAACUGGUGAACGGAAAGGCGGUACUCCCCCAUAUCCACAUCAUGUGGAUUGCAUUAGGGCUCACCACUCUUCCUUGUGGAUCUAGCACCACAAGGAUGGGCUUGUUCCGGAAGUGCCACACCUCCUUGAUGAACCUGAUGACUGCCUUAUCAAUCAGUGUAGGAGUGUAGACUGAAUACCAUGGCAUUGUGGCCUGCAGAGUCACAAACCGAUCUUGCAUGGCAUCUGUCCACACAACUGAGCGGUCCACAACUGGGAUCCACACAACUUCGUACUGACUCUCCAUCCUAGUCCCGUGGACCCGAGACUCAUUAUAGAUCUGAUCCAGAAUUGAAAGCUCGUCAUGGGAGAUGGAUAGGCCUGAUAUAAGCAGCAAAACAUUCUUCCUCCUCAGCACAUCUAUGUUAACCUGCGGCAUUAAAGUUAGAACUUUAGGUUAGUAGUAACGAAGUGGAAAAAGAAAAUGCACAUUAGAACUUUUAAGUCGUGGUAAUAAUUUUUUUUUAUAUAUGACAGUUUCAUGGAAUAGUGCUACUGCCAAUGCAGUAAUGCAGUGAUAUGUUUGUAGAGUGAACCCUUCUCUUUGUAGAGCCUUCAAGCAGUGGCUGCACGUCAUCCUUGGGAGAAAUCAGUGCCCUGAGAAUCUUCAUGUUGUCAAUGUGAAUACUCUCAAAAAGAUUCAGAAGCAUUUGAAAAGUUUCAGCAUUCCGCUUAUCAUCUGCAUCAAAACAGCAAUCCCUUGUCAGAUUUAAAAUCCAUUUCAUUGGUAUUUACAUUAGCUGUGCAACACUUGCUUCCAUAAAUUUGGAAAGGGUUGGUGGUCUUACCUAUGUAUUGGUAACAAAGAGUAAGUUGCUUCUUCAGAAGAUCCAGUAUGCUAUUGAUCUUGUGAGCCAUGGUGGACAGUUCCCAUGCCUCAUUUGUAGCAGAUAUCCAGUACCUAAAAUCAUUGCAAUUGUCAUAAGUAAAAUGAUUGUUGCCUAACCAGCAUUCCCAAUGGAUUAAGUGGCAUAUCAUAUAAUUCUUCCACAAAAUCAGAGGCAUUUAUUUUUUGUAUUUGGAAAAUUAGCAAAUGGAAAAGAUAUUUAGUUGGCAGUACUUUGCUUUACUAAGGUUGAAAGAUUGAAGCAUGAUAUAUCAGCAAAGAGACUAUAACAUACUCAUGGCCCAUGCUAGUGAAGGUUGUAAUCUGAGUUGCGCAAGCCACAACACUCCUGAUGGUCCAGUAAACAGCAGUGGGGAUAUGUUUCAUUGCUGUUGCUAAUGCUGGUACGUCCUGGCUUAUAUACAUGGACGGGAGCUCCUUGAACUCAAUAAUGCACCUGGUAAUUGCCACCAUAGCCCUGAUGAGAUUGUUAAGAGCAUCAAACCGUGGUUUUAGUUGACCAGAGUGCUCCAAGAUGGUGGGCACUUGCUUAAGGAUUGCCAUUGAUUUCGCAAGUUGGUUGGAUGAGGAGAUCUGAGCAAGGAGCCAGAAUUCACCAUAGUUCACAGCAAAAGCUGAUAGGGUUAGCACCAGCUUUGCUUCCCAUGAAUAGCUUGUUAACAGGUUAAAUAUAGAGAGUGUCAUUGCAUGAGCGUCACCUCCGCCCAAACUCUUGUAUGCUAUCUGAAUACAUAAUUGAUUGAUCACAUGUCAUUGUAAAGAAACAAAUAAAACGUAAUCAUGCCAUGUGUAUAAUGCAUAAGGGAUGAGUUUUCUGCAUGUCAUUCUAAGAAAUGAAUUUUUGCAGUAGUUCUUUGUAAUAACCUCGCAGGAAAUUCGAUCAAUGGUAAACGACAGUGCUUCGAGCAAAGCAAUGAAACUGGCUUGAUUUGUCCUAUCAUCAGAAGUUUCAAUGCGUGUUUGGGCAGCCUGCAAUGAAAUCACGAGUGGAUUAUCUACUAUAAAUGCAUAGAAAAUUUGUAUCUGCAUACCCUUUCGUUCAAGUAUCCUUCAUUAAUUAGGAUUGUCAAUUGCAUAUGCUCUUAACUAACACAACAAACUAAAACGUGGACGUUCUAAUGUUCUUGAAUUAAAUGAUUUCACCCCAUGGAAGCAGCUCGAGCAUUUGGAAAAAGAAGAAGAGUGUUAUUGUGAAGGAGUUGAAAUUUUGAAAUAGAUGUUAUCCUCAAAACAUAUAGUAGGAAAAAGGUGGACUUCGGCAGUAAAAAGUUUGUUAUUCUGAAAAUAUUUUAGAUGUAGAUAAAUGACUAUAUGGCGUAAAAAUUUCUUGUGUUGAUUUUGUAGAUAACAUAGGAGUUGGCUAGUUAGUAUGACAUUGUGCUGGCAAGGAAUCCUUGAUUGGUAUGUGCAUUUACUUUUGUUUUGGCUAUUGAAAAAAAUGAACAAGGUCAAGUAAUUAAAAGCAGCCUGAACAAAAGAAACUGGCAGAAACAUUAGGCCCUUACUACAUUAGAGGUUAUAGGAGUGUUAUACCGAAAUUAAGGGAUCAACACCCGGUGUAGCCCGAUUCAGGAUGUCUUCCACGAGUUGGAAAAGAGGCUUAACAUCAAACUCUCGGCCAUCAGGAGCAUGGGUUGCGUGAAUUUGUUUCACCAUCAUGUUGUCAUCAGACAUGGUUAUCAUGCUCCUAUCAUGCUUGAUCAGUUUUUGUAAGGGAACUGGGUUGAUUUUGGUGGUUUCUGCGGGCUUCAACACUUGCUGCAGCGGAGCUGGGUUGAUCGCUUGCUGCAUCGGAGAUGGGUUGUUCACUUGCUGCAUGGGAGUUGGGUUACUGAGUUCUUUGGCCAUUUGCUGCAAUGGACCUUAGAUGGCUUUGUUGGUAGUCACCGUUUUGGGUAUGCAAAAGAAGGCAAGUAGCUAAGAUUUUGAGUCAGAACGGAAGAGGAGAAGAUGGCUUGUGUUCCUUUUGCAGACUGCUUGCCCUUUAUAUACCCUUCACAAACGAAUAAAGCGAGCCUCACUGAAUCUAACUCUUUACUUCCGCCAUAAUUAAAAUUCAGGUACUUUGGACCAAGACUUGCUUUCGUGACUGAUCAUCUUCUUGUUUCACGAUUUUAUUCUUUUGGGUGGUCCCAGAAGCAGCAGUUACUUCUGAAUCAAAAGAGAGAUCUGGGUCCCGCGAAUUUUCUUAUUCCUCGUAGAAUUUAUACAAACUGCAAACGCUACAAUGAAAAUUCAAAACCAUGAAGCUUCAUUUCAUGGCACUUUCAUAAAGCGUCAUGAUUUAGCUUAUAAUGGGAUAUACAAUGGUGCUUACUAAAAGCACAUUGUUUAAUUUAAUUUUCUUAAUAUUAUUAUACUUAUUAUAAGCGUUAUUAUUUGAUGUGACCUUUUAACUUAUAAUUGGGAAUACAAUAGUGCUUAUCGGAGGUGUCUUAGUUUUAUUAUUCAACCUUGGUGCUUUUUCAAAGUUCAAUAUAGUAACACAAACCUUUAUGCCAUGUUAAUUAUCUUCUACUUUAUUUACCCUCAAUAUCCAUUUAAAAAAUAUUCAUAAACCUCAUCCCUCAAAUCCCACCAUUAGACUUGACAAACCCUAGAUAUUUGAGGACCUUACUAUUGAUGUGUUAAUGUAUUGCAGUUUGUUUUUUGAUAUUUUAACCGUGGUUAAGUUAUCUUUUUGAUCUAUGGCUAUAAUACUAACAGAUGGAGGGCUUGGAUAGAAGAGAGAAGUGUGUUGAGCAAGCUUCUUAUUUUUGUAUCUAAAAAAAUCUGAAAAUAUGAGAAGUAGCAGUUCACGUUGCCUUUAUGUGCCUUGGUUUUACUUUGCUCUGUGUUUUUUCUUGUUUCUUUCUCUACAGAUUUGCAGGCCUUCAUUUAUGCGGAGAACCAGUAGCUUGUUCAAGGGUAGCAUCAACAGCAGACCAUCCAACACUUACACAUACUCAUAACUCCAAAAUGCAAAUGGUCGAUGAGCUACCAUAGGAAAUCUUCACUGACACUUCCUAACCAACACUCACCAUCCUCACCCUUAAUCAGUGAGCCUCCACAAACAACUAGAAGCUUAAAAGCUAUUGAGAUUUUUGGACCCCACACAAAAGCUGUUGUUUGUUUUAUAAUGUUCUAAUGAGAAGUCUGGAAUUCAAUUUUUUCCCCUUCAAAUUUUCUUUUGAAAAUUUCUCUAACCUAAACCUCUGUUACUUUGUGUAUGUUCUAUUUAGAUCUUAUUUUUGGAUUCUUUUGUAUAAAUUUAUAAUGUUUUAGACUCAGAAAUGUAGGGAAAUGAACUAUUUUUGUUUUUGCUCUGUUAUUGCUUCCCUUUUGCUUAUGCCAUUUAAGUUUAUAUUUUCAUGAUUUUGAUCUCAGAAAGCGGUGUUUAAGAUUCAUAGAUGACGGUUGACUGCAUAAAAGUUGUUGGCUAUUUACUGGACUUAAGUAGUGGAGAUUUAUUUUGAUUACUUUUAUUUUCCAAUGAUUUCUUACUAUCCAAGCAAAGUUUAAUAUUAAGAAAUUUGAUUGCUUCAUACCAUGUAGUUUAGUAUUUCAAGUUUUAUGGUUUAGACUGUUAUUAUUGUUUUAUAUUAGAUGUAUUUAAAGAAACUGGUUGCAUCUGAACCUAGUUAUGGUAAGGUGUAUUCCAAUUAGAAAAUUAGAAAAGUACGUAUGAGAGUAGAUCAUGAAGACCGGUACUAAUUCCUUUGUUUAUUUCAUUAAUGGUUAUGGAAUGACAUAAAUUUUGCGAUAUUGUUUGGUAUUAUUGUAUAUAUAAGAGGGUGAUUGGGACUGCCAAACGAUCAACUAAGGGAGUCUGGACAGAGCAAAAGGUUAGAAAUUAAAGGUUCUUAUAGGGUUUAUGGCUUUCUGUUGUGUAGUUUUGGGUGUUGGGCUAGUUAUUUGAACAACUUUGAAAUGGGGUUGUGAUGAAUGGUUCUUUGCAUUUACUUGUUAUUUGAACUACUGUGAAAUGAAGAUUAGAUGAAUGACUUCAUAUGCAUUCUUUUUCCCCAUUAACAGGAUCAAGUAUUAGUCUAUGUUGUCAAAAAGUACAAUGGAAAUAACUGGAAAAAAAUUUGGUGCAUAUAACAUUAUUGCUUUCCACUCAUAAGGGUUCCUCAGUAGCAGAAUCUAUCUGAUUAGCUUUGUAAUUCAUAAACAUACCAGUAGCCGGGGAAUAAAUUAGUGUUAAUUAAGUUUUUCAGAAAAAAUUAUUUUCAUAAUAUUUUUUAGGCUGGCCAAUUUCGCUCAGUCUGUUUCUUUCAACUGUCAAUUUGCGACAAACUUGUCACCUUGUGCAACCAAAUAUGUCACUGGCACAAUAGAGAAAUCUUCUCUUGUUUGUGUCUAAGCUUUUUUUAUAGCCUUUUAAUCCAGAUAGCUUCCUUACAAGCCUGUGUAGCUGCCAUGUACUUUGCUUCUGUUAUAGAUAGAGCCACAAUAGUUUGGAGUUUUGAAACCUAGCUCACAACUCCUCUUGUAAGUGUAAACAAAUAGCUCGUAGUAGAUUUAUUCUUAUCAAGAUAACCUGCAAAGUCUGAAUCAACAUAACUAAUACUUUGAUGUAUCUAAGGAUCCUCUUAACUAUAUUUCAAUGCUCUCUCCCCAAAUUUGCCAUGAAUCGACUUAUCACUCCCACUACUUGUGCAAUGUUUGGUUUUGUACAAAUCAUAGAAAACAUUUCCCAUUGCUGAUGCAUAUGGUGUUUGAGAUAGUUUCAUCCACUCCGCUUUAUUACUAGGACUCAUACUUAAGGAUAAUUUGUAAUUUACAAGAAGUAAGGUAGAAACUGGUUAAUUUACAAUCAUGCAUGUUAAGACGAUGUAAAAAAAUUUUCAAAUAGCUUUUUUGUGAGAGUCAAAUCUUCUUGUUUUGUCUAUCUUGGCAAAUUUGCAUCCCUAGAAUUUUGUUUGUUGGUCCUAGAUCCUUCAUCUUAAAUAUCUUAGCCAAUUGUGCCUUUAAUUCUUAGACUCAAUCUUUGUUGGGGUUUUCAACCAACAUGUAAUCACGUAUAACAACAAAAUAAUAAAAUCAUCACCCUCAAACCUCUUGUAAUAUAUACAAUGAUAUGAAUUGAGUCUAUUGUACCCAAGGCUCAAUAUGAAGGAAUCAAAUCUCUUGUACCCACAUUUUGACACUUAUUUUAUACCAUACAAAGAUUUAGUUAAUCUGCAAACCAAGUUCUCUUUCUCAUUUUCUUCAAAGCCUUUCAGGCAUAUAAAUUUCUUCUUGAAACUCUCCAUGAAGAAACGCAAUUUUCACAUCUAACUACUCAAAGUGUAAAUCCAAUCCAGCACACAUAGCUAAGACUACUCAAAUUGAUGUAAAUUGAACAAUUGGAGAAAAUCACUCAUUGAAAUCAAUACCUUCUUUCUAAGCAUAUUCUUUAACCACGAGUCUUGCACAAUACUUCUCCACUUGGUCAUUGCUGUCAUGUUUGAUCUUAUAGACCUACUUAUUUCCAAUAAUUUUUCUUCCAAGUGGUGGGGGCACAAAUUUCCAUGUCUGGUUCUUAUGCAAGGAUUUAACCUUCUCUUGCUUUGUUGUCAUCCAUAGGAUGGGUGCCAAUUCUCGUUUUGAUUCCAUUUAUUCUCUCUAUUCAUUUCUCCUGGAAUGACCCAACUCCUUCGCUCCAUCUCUCUCUCGUGAAGGGUUCAAGGUUUUCUUCGCUACUUCAGAUCUUGCAGCAGCUCGAAUCCUCACCGACAUUGGAGCGCUCUCACCUCUCAACUCUCAAUUCUCAAUUCUCAAUUCAAUCGCAUCUCCGCAUUAGAUUUCGAUUCUGGAUCGUCGACCUAGCCGUCAUGGUUGUCGCAAUCGCCACUAUCACCGCCGGAGGUGCCUCUUUGGAUAUUUUUCUCUUUUCCGGCACUGUUUGUACAUUCCCAAACAAGAUGUGUUUUGACGAGGUGUACGGCGUCAAAGCUCGACAACGAAGACUUUGUGCAGCAGUGCAAGGAGUGGCGAUGCCUCAUGAAGGAGGGUCAUCUACGUCCACCAUCACCGUGCCACCGUUCACGCUGACUACUAUCGUUCGUUUAGCAUCGCUGGAUCUGCUCUCUCCAACCGCCGCCCCCUACACCAACGUUCAGUCUCAAUUUCCUCUCAUCUUAAUAGAGCUCACUACUGUUAUAGAAUCGCUGGAGUUAUCGCCUACGUUGGCACCUAAAAAGCGGCGCCGAAGACGUCGCUCUGUCGUUACAUGCUCUGUCUCCGUCCUCGCCAACUGCUCCUUCACCAUCACCACACUUUGGAUCACCGCUGACGCCCUCUCCUACACCAUUUUCGUCUGACGUUAGGGAUGUGCAGCACGUGAGUACCAAGAGCGUAAAUUCAGAGGGGGGAGAGUCAUCCAGUGGAUUCAAAGGUGGAUAGAAAGUCAAGAUAGCGCUUGGAGUCAUCGCCUAUGUCGCUACGCUCAGAUCCAAUUGUUUGGUGUACAAGAAACGGCGAGACAAUAUUCAACGAUCCCAAUAUGGUUGUUCACAUGAGUUCUUGAAGAAAUUUAGCGUUUCAAUCCUCUUGAGUCGUUUGUGGGCGUUUUUGGCUCCUUCUUCGUUGUCAUAUGUUUCAUUGGAUGUUUCUUUUUCUUGAAUUACCAUGCUGUCAGUCAGAGGCUUCACACUCGUACAUUGCCUGGGAGGCUUUCUUGGUUGGGAUUUGAUGAGUCGCAGUUGUCCUCCCCGUUGUCGUUAGAGGCGAUUGUCGAUAUACUGCUGGGGUUUCUUGAAGAGGGUGUUGAUGGGUGUAACGUGUUUGAUGGGAGUUGGGUUUGGAAUGAGAGCUACCCUCUAUAUCAAUCCUAGAAUUGUUCAUUGCUAGAUGAUGGGUUUCAUUGUUCUGAAAAAUGGUAGUCCUAAUAGUUUCUACAUCAAGUGGCGUUGACAGCCUAAGCAUUGCAACUUACAAGACACGGUUUGCACAUGUGCACUUUCCAUAUAUCUGCCGGGAUUAAAAAAAGAAACAGAGUAUCCCAUGGAAAUGAUAGGUUGCCAUAUAAAUAAGAGAGAGACAAGAAUAAAAGAGGGGAAAUGUUUUUUUUUUUUUUUGUCUGGGAAAAAUAGGCUAAGGAAAUUUUUUUCAGAGAGAGCACGCAGAAUUUUGGAGGAGAGCGAGGGAUUUCGGACGGAGAUCGGGCUGCCACUUUAAUCAUCAAGAGAGGAUUUUUCUUUCGCUUCAUAGGUUAGUUUUCUAUAUAGUAUUUUUAUUUAACCUAGAUUUGUUUUUUGAAAUUUUAAUUUUUGAUUAAUUCUUUGUGUUAAAGUUUAUAUUUUUAAUUCCGAAUUAAUUAGUUUAGUUUUCAUUUAUUUUUUAGUUUGAAUGUGUUAGUGAUUUUAAUUCAUUAGUUUAAAUAAUCUUGUGAGAUAAAGUUUAUAUUUUUUUUUUAAUUUCGGAUUAGUUAAGUUUUAGUUUAUGUUUUAGUUUGAAUGUGUUUGUGAUUUUAAUUCAUUAGUUUAAAUAAUCUUGUGAGAUGAAGUUUAUAUUUUUAAUUUAGGAUUAGUUCGGUUUUAGUUUGAAUGUGUUUGUGAUUUUAAUUCAUUACUUUAAAUAAUCUUGUGAGAUAAAGUUUAUAUUUUUAAUUUAGGAUUAGUUCAGUUUUAGUUUAUAUUUUAGUUUGAAUGUGUUUGUGAUUUUAAUUCAUUAGUUUAAAUAAUUUUGUGAGAUAAAGUUUAUAUUUUUAAUUCCAGAUUAGUUUAGUUUUAGUUUAUGUUUUAGUUUGAAUGUGUUAAUGAUUUUAAUUCAUUAGUUUAAAUAAUUUUGUGAGAUAAAAUUUAUAUUUUUAAUUCCGGAUUAGUUUAGUUUUAGUUUAUGUUUUAGUUUGAAUGUGUUAGUGAUUUUAAUUCAUUUGUUUAAAUAAUUUUGUCAGAUAAAGUUUAUAUUUUUAAUUCCAGAUUAGUUUAGUUGUAGUUUAUGUUUUAGUUUGAAUGUGAUAGUGAUUUUAAUUCAUUAGUUUAAACAAUUUUGUGAGAUAAGGUUUAUAUUUUUAAUUCCGAAUUAGUUUAGUUUUAGUUUAUGUUUUAGUUUGAAUGUGUUUGUAAUUUUAAUUCAUUAGUUUAAAUAAUCUCGUGAUAUAAAAUUUAUAUUUUUAAUUCCGGAUUAGUUUAGUUUUAGUUUAUGUUUUAAUUUGAAUGUGUUAGUGAUUUUAAUUCAUUAGUUUAAAUAAUCUUGGGAAAUAAAGUUUAUAUUUUUAGUUACGGAUUAGUUUAGUUUUAGUUUAUGUUAUAAUUUGAAUGUGUUAGUGAUUUUAAUUCAUUAGUUUAAAUGAUCUUGUGAGAUAAAGUUUAUAUUUUUAAUUCCGGAUUAGUUUAAUUUUAAUUUGAAUGUGUUAGUGAUUUUAAUUCAUUAGUUUAAAUAAUCUUGUGAGAUAAAGUUUAUAUUUUUAAUUCCAAAUUUAUUUAGUUUUAGUUUAUGUUUUAGUUUGAAUGUGUUAGUGAUUUUAAUUCAUUAGUUUAAAUAAUCUUGUGAGAUGAAGUUUAUAUUUUUUAUUCGGGAUUAGUUUAGUUUUAGUUUAUGUUUUAGUUUGAAUGUGCUAGUGAUUUUAAUUCAUUAGUCUAAAUAAUCUGGUGAGAUAAAGUUUAUAUUUUUAAUUCCGGAUUAGUUUAGUUUUAGUUUAUGUUUUAGUUUGAAUGUGUUUUUUAUUUUAAUUCAUUAGUUUAAAUAAUCUUAUGAGAUAAAGUUUAUAUUUUUACUUCCGGAUUAGUUUAGUUUUAGUUUAUGUUUUAGUUUGAAUGUGUUUUUAAUUUUAAUUCAUUAGUUUAAAUAAUCUCGUGAGAUAAAAUUUAUAUUUUUAAUUCCGGAUUAGUUUAGUUUUAGUUUAUGUUUUAAUUUGAAUGUGUUAGUGAUUUUAAUUCAUUAGUUUAAAUAAUCUUGGGAAAUAAAGUUUAUAUUUUUAGUUACGGAUUAGUUUAGUUUUAGUUUAUGUUAUAAUUUGAAUGUGUUAGUGAUUUUAAUUCAUUAGUUUAAAUAAUCUUGUGAGAUAAAGUUUAUAUUUUUAAUUCCGGAAUUUAUUUAGUUUUAGUUUAUGUUUUAGUUUGAAUGUGUUAGUGAUUUUAAUUCAUUAGUUUAAAUAAUCUUGUGAGAUAAAGUUUAUAUUUUUAAUUCGGGAUUAAUUUAGUUUUAGUUUAUGUUUUAGUUUGAAUGUGUUAGUGAUUUUAAUUCAUUAGUUUAAAUAAUCUUGUGAGAUGAAGUUUAUAUUUUUUAUUCCGGAUUAGUUUAGUUUUAGUUUGAAUGUGCUAGUGAUUUUAAUUCAUUAGUCUAAAUAAUCUGGUGAGAUAAAGUUUAUAUUUUUAAUUCCGGAUUAGUUUAGUUUUAGUUUAUGUUUUAGUUCGAAUGUGUUUUUUAUUUUAAUUCAUUAGUUUAAAUAAUCUUAUGAGAUAAAGUUUAUAUUUUUAAUUCCGGAUUAGUUUAGUUUUAGUUUAUGUUUUAGUUCGAAUGUGUUUUUUAUUUUAAUUCAUUAGUUUAAAUAAUCUUAUGAGAUAAAGUUUAUAUUUUUACUUCCGGAUUAGUUUAGUUUUAGUUUACGUUUUAGUUUGAAUGUAUUUGUAAUUUUAGUUCAUUAGUUUAAAUAAUCUCGUGAGAUAAAGUUUAUAUUUUUAAUUCCGGAUUAGUUUAGUUUUAAUUUAUGUUUUAGUUUGAAUGUGUUAGUGAUUUUAAUUCAUUAGUUUAAAUAAUCUUGUGAGAUAAAGUUUAUUUUUUUUUUGGAUUAGUUUAGUUUUAGUUUGAAUGUGUUAGUGAUUUUAAUUCAUUAGUUUAAAUAAUCUUGUGAGAUAAAUUUUAUAUUUUUUUUUAAUUCCACAUUAGUUUAGUUUUAGUUUAUGUUUUAGUUUGAAUGUGUUAGUAAUUUUAAUUCAUUAGUUUAAAUAAUUUUAUUAGAUAAAGUUUAUGUUUUUAAUUCUGAUUUAGUUUUGUUAUAAUUUAUUUUUUAGUUUGGAUAUAUUUGUGGUUGUAAUUCAAUAGUUUAAUUAAUCUGGCUAAAUAAAAUUCAUGUUUUUAAUUAUAAUUUAGUUUAGUUUUAAUAUGUUUUUUUUUUUUACUUUGAGUGUGUUUAUGAUUUUAAUCCAAUAGUUUAAUUAAUCCCAUUACAUAAAGUUUAUGUUUUUUUAAUUCUAAUUGAGUAUAGUUUCAAUUUAUUUUUAUUUUUUUUAAUCUAGGUGUACUUGUGUGUUUAGCCAAUCCUAUGUUAAUUCUUGAUUGUUAUGUUCAAUUUAUGUGCUUCUUGAAUACUAGUCUUUAAUUUUUGGUGAAUGUCUCAUUAGCUUAUUUGAUCUAAGUUUGAAUAAUUUAUUGUUUUGAUGGUCUCUCAUAAAAUUUACUUGUCAAAGGCCAUUGGAAAAUAGUGACGAUUGGUCUCCAUUCUCACAACUUUAGUUUGCUCGAAUUGUCCAAAUUUUCACUUUGUGAAUUCGUUUUCUUCUAUUUUGCUAGGUAUUUUAUUUCUUAUGUUUUGUUAUUUUCAAUGUUUUAAAAACCGGACCGGACCGGCCGGUUCAACCGGUUUAACCGUCGACCGGUCACGUUUCCGGCUCGGUUCACUCUAUUGAACCGCUUGGCUAUUGGACUGGACACAAAUCGCCUGAACCGGCGAUCAAACCGGUGACCUGGUCGAACCGAACGGUUCAAAACGAACCGAACAGUUCAAAUUAGCCCCUCAUUUUGCAAGAAGGGCCCAUUGAAUUUUAUUGAUUUGUACCAAAGCCCAUGCUGGGCCUUGUCUUAUGACAAAGCCCACACACGCAACCCAACCACAUUUUAGGCUGAGUCUUGAGCCCAUUAAUCGUGGUCAUGCCUGUGCCCUGAGGAUGGCUUUUAUAGGAGUCAUUUGCAUCCUUAUUCCUCUCACUUUCCGAUGUGGGAUUGCUAACAUUAUCAAUGAAAAAAUUAUAUAACAAUCUCCACCAAGAGAGCUUGAACCUUGGACCUCCGGUACACUACUCUCCCUAAGAGGCCACUCGGCUAUAUGCAUUUUGUUAUCUACCAUGCCAAACUAAAUAAUAUAUUUUAGAUUUUAAAAUUUUUUAUAAUAUUAAAUAAAAAUAAUAUAAUAUUUUUAAAAAUUAUAAAAUUAGUUUAAAUUUUCAAAUAUGUUCACAUUUAAAUAUUAUACAUAUUUCAUCUAAUUAAAUUUAAAAUUUUAAUUUGAUAAUAUCAAAGAUAUAAAAUAAUAUUAUUGAUUUUUAAUUUAUUCAUAUAUAUUUUAAAUUUUUUAUAAUUAUUUUUUAUUUUAAUAAUAUAUAAAUAAAAAAUUGCAUAUUUAUGACGUCACUGGUUCGACUGCGGUUCGACGACUGGUCCGACCAGUGAACCGUGAACCGAUAACUUUUCCGGUUCGAUGACCGGUCCGGUUCUGAAAACAUUGGUUAUUUUCACAUAAAUUCCCUUUAUUUUAAAAUCAAAUGCUUUCCUCAAAAGAUACCCUUGAAAAUUUUAUGUUAAAAAAUUCAUUUAAAGUCCUCAAGAUCAAAAUCUCUUUUUUUUAAAAAUAAAAUGCAACCAUAUCUUAAUCAGUUUGCAUCAUUUUCGGCUUCCAAUGAAAAUUUUGGUUUUGAACAAAACACAAACCAAAGCUUGUGGUCCCAAAUAAAUGGAACAAUUCUAGGCUAAAUUCGUGUAUAUCAAUUGGGAAAUUGGUGAAACCCCUACAUAAGAAAAUCUUUUCAAAACUUAUUUUGUUAUCACCCUUGUUAUUUGUUGUAAUCAUGUCUAUUUAUUUUUUAGGAAUUAUAUACAAGAUGUAUGUGAUAAUUGAUGAUUUCGUAUACUUUGAUAAUUUUUGUUAUGCUAAUUAGAUAUGCAUGUUAGGAUUUCUUGUUUUAUUAUUUAUUAUCUAACCCCCCAUGUCCUAAGAAAGAGUAUUAUGAGUUAUCUAUGCUAUCCAGGUACGCCCCCUAUCACCUACCUUCUAAAUUCUAUAAAUAUGAUUGUCAUUGUGAAUUAUGUUUAUGUUUGAUAGUGCUUGAGUGUUUUGAUAUACAUGUUUCAUUAUUCGAUUAUUUCUAAUAAAACACAUGCUGAAUGAUAUACUAUUUGAACUAACUUAAUUUGAUGUCUUGUGAUAGCGCUUAAGAAGCAGUCCAGGUACGUACCCGAAAUCUUCUUCAUGAUUGUGAUUGGUUUCCUUAUUUAGUAUGUUAUUUUUUAAAAUCACCUAGCCUACCUAGGUAUCUAUAAUUAACCAAUUAAUUGUCAUAUUUCCCUAAACUUAGUCAGUAGAGACCUUUGUAGGGCUUAAAGGGGUGCUACCUUUUAAAUGUAUCUUCCCAAUAGGUAACCUGAUCCCCGGAUUUAGACUCGGUUUUUUCAAAGACAUGUUUUUCCAAAAACUAUGAAGUCAUUUUUUUUAGGGUUUUAUUUCUUGUUUUAUUUUUCCUUUAAAAUAAAAUAAAAUAAGUGGCGACUCCGACUUUUCUAAAAUUAAUUUUUCACAAAUAAAAUUGAGUCUCACCAAUUGAGUGGGAGAUCACGUGAAAAAUGCGGGUCCACACGAGUCAUUCUAGUUUUCCAAUAGGGAUAGUCGAUUCCUAUGAAAAAUGGAGCUCUAUGUUUUGUAAAAUUUUCAAACUCAAAUUUUAUUGUGGUUCGGCACUUCCUUGCCUACGUCCACUCUCCUCAAUCUCCUAACCAAGUGAGGGUUCCACUAACUUGAAGCUUCAACCAAGCUUCCAAUCUUUUUACACUUGGAUUGCGGCUCCAAUUGGCUCUUGCACAAUCUCUUCAAGAUUCAAACCUCUUGAAAGCUUUAACACUCAGUUUUUACAAGAAUGAAUCCCUCAACCUAUCUCAAUGAUAUCUCAAAUACAAAACAAAGCUAGGAUGACUCACAAGGGUGCACUAAAAGAUAUGCAAGUGAGGAUUUAAUGCACUAAAAAGGAAAUGAGAGCUUUUAAGGCAAGAACAAGUAGGUAGACAAUUGAUUACAAGUGUCUUUCUGUCAUAAAUGAAGUGGAGCUCUCAAUUUAUAGGUUUUCAAGCUUGGGAGCCAAGAACAGCAAAAAAUAGCCUCAACCGGUAGAGCUGGGGGUCGACCGGUUCACUAGCUGUUGGAGCAUUUAAUGUUUUGACAGGUUACCAUUGUCUCGAUCGAACCUCAACCAGAGGUCGACCAGGAAGGAGGAAACCUCAACCAAGAAAGGAAGGAUACUAAAAAAGAGAGAGUGAUUUUGACACUCCUCGAUCGGACCUCGACCGCACAAGGGCAACCGGUCAAUUGGUUCCCCAACCAAUUGAGCCGGUUGGCUAGAGCCUCGACCGAUUCAGCCUUUUGGCCCUGAAAACCUAUCUUUUUCACUUCUUUUCUUUUCUAACACUUAGGCAAGGUCUUUAGGUAAAUUAAUAUGCCAAUUUUGAAACGUUUUGCCUAAGGUACAUUUGAUAAAACUCGGGUUUUAAUGAAAUUACAACUUUAGAGAACAAAUCGAGUUUUCCAAAGAUGCAUAAAAAGAUAUGUAAACCCUAAGUGCACUCAUGCAUUCAUCUUACAUUUUUUUUUUCUUAUGAUUAAAAGUCUUCCGAAAGUCCUGAUCUUGUAUCCAUUUGGUCAUUUGAUGAAUUUCCGAAUUUAUACCUGAGAUUCUUUACCAUUCAAACCAAGUAGUCACUUAACAAUGGUUUGUUAUCAUCAAAACCUGAUUAGGAGAACCCAUUGGGUUAACACUCUUUUUUACGUGUCUUUGUUUUCCAUAAUGGUAACAUUUGACUUUCUUCUUACCUUAAGGCUUUGACUUACUCUAUUUGUGACUCCCACUAGAACCACGUUUUGUUGAUCUUCCUUUAGAAAUAAUUAGAGCCUCAGUUUGUUGAGAAGAUGAUAUUUGUAUUCCUUAUUUUUAUGCCUACUUUCUUCCUCAAGUAUAGUAGUCGCAACAUUAUUAAAGACUAGUAAAAAACUGAAACACCCAAAGUGGGGGUGAAUGAGUGAUUUUAAAAUUUAAAAUAAAGAUUUAUAUAUAUUAUCCCCAAUUUUUAUCUUAAGAAGUACCAGUGAUACCUUGUAUAACCUAAUAGGCUAUACUUGAAAUCUUUAAGUAUAAAAAUAUGAUUUUUAUCUUCUAGGGAUAACCUAUGAGAUGUUAGGGGUAACAAUGAUAAUCAAACAUUCAAUGAUAUAACAAUGAAAUGAAAAGAUAUGCAGUGGGCAUGAGAUUUUUAUGUGGAAAACCCUCAUACUAACUAUAAAGGGAAAAAAAAAACCCCCACAAAAUCUAAGACCUACUAAUCUAAAUCCAUUAUGUGAAAUCAGGUUACACAUAUUUACUUGAUCAUCUUACCUUAAAGAUUUUCUUUCCAGUACCUACAACUUGAUUCACAUUCACAAUGCAGCAACCUUCAAUUGCUCCAAUGGAUCACUUUAGCCUCGUCAAAGGGAUGAAGGUCUUCAACCCAAGAUUCAUAAAUCAAAUCCUUAAAUGAGAGAUUGGGAAUGGUGUGGUACUUUAGGCUUUCUUCUCAAUGAGAACCUCUCAAUAAGUUUGAGAUCACUUUCCAAUCUCCAGAAUCUCUAAAACGAUCUUUUAAGCCUCAAAGGGUUAUAAUGAGGUAUUUAUAAGAGUAAAUCCUGAAGAGGUUUGGUUUUAGAAGACUUCCAAAUCAUAUUUGCAUGAAAGAAUCUUAGUUGAAAAUUCAUGACCACUCUAGCCUACUUUGGUGGCUUGAACGCUUCAAGUGCUCAAGUAGUAUGGAACGCUUGAGCGGUCAUCAUUUAAGUGUUGUUCCCCGCUUAAGCAUUCUCUAUUUUUCAAAAAAAUUAUAAAAAUUAAUUUUAAAUUCAAAACAAUUAUCAAUCCUCUUUAUACCUCAAUAGAGUCUACCACAAGCCAAAUAUUUUUAAACAUAUCUGUGACUUCCCAGUUGGACGAAUGGCAACUCUUGAUCUUCAAUGGAAAGCAAGUCACUAUCUAAAAAGACUUCUAUAUUCAAACAUUAAAAAAAAAACAAAAUUAUUAACAAUUAAACAAGACUCUAUCUCCUAACAACUAGCAUUAUCCUCAAAGCACCAUUGGCCAUAUUUAUGAUGAGAUGAUCAUAUGAGUCAGGUAGACUUUGGAAUAGAAGUUCAACACAUUCUUUCUCUUCUAUGUUAUGCUCCAUAGCUAACAGUUGAUAGAACAAAAAUUUUAGAGUGUUAAUGUGUUUAGUCAUCGAAGUAGAUUCUGACAUUCAAAUAGUGUAGAAUUUUCUUUCCAAGAAGAUUUUGUUAUGCAAUGAUUUGGCUUUAUAUAGUUUUGUUGAAGUACUUGUUGUUGCCUUGAGAAGGUGUAGACAUGAGCCCACAUAUGUCAAUUUGAAUUAGCUCCAAUACCUUCUUUGCAUUCUAAGAAACUUCAUUUGGAAAUGAUUGUCUGUGAUGCUUCCCAAUAGCACAACCUUCACAUAUUUCAUUCUUUUUUUCAAUGGUUUAGGCAACCCUUGUACCACAUCUUCCUUUGAUAAAGCAUUUUCAAGCUAUUGAAGUUCAAGUGCCUAAAUCUUCUAUGUCAUAACCAAACUUCAAUAUUUUCCACUCUAAAAGCCACAUUUUCAGCAUAUUUGAAUACAAAAAUUUUUUACAAUUAAAGCAUUAAGGCUUCCCUUUGAACCAACAAUCUUUCUUAACAUGAUUGCUUCUUUUAUAAAUACUACACAUUGUGAGUGAUAAGGCUUCUUUGUUAGUGAACUUUCUUCCAUUGUUGAAGUUUUUUCUACCUCUUCCUCUUCCUCACCUAGUUCUACCACCUUUGGAUAUAUCACUUCUAUUUUCAUUGCUUGUAGGUUUCCUUUCAACUGAUUUUUUAGAAUGCCUCAACAAUCUCUACUCAUAAGUUUUUAAAGACCUAAAUAGCUCUUGUACAUUGAGUUAUGAGAGAUCUUUUGUUUUUUCAACCAUAGCCACAAUUGGGUCAUAUUUAUUAGGUAGGCUGAUCAAAAUUUUCUCAAUAAUUCUUCUGUCACUAAUUUCUUCACCAUGUGACUUCAUUUGAUUUAUGAACUCCAUAAAUCUAGAAGAGAACUCAUUUAGAGUUUAAUUCUCCCUUAUUUUCAUAUUUUCUAGCUCUCUUCUUAAAUAUUGAAGCCUUACUGAUCGGGUUCUUCUAUAUCCUUGGAACUCUUGUUGGAGGAUGUCCCAUGCUUCUUUACCUUUUGAAGCUAGCUCUCAUAAUUCUUGGGAAAACGCUAUUACCAACACCCUAUUGAAUAAAUAGGAGAGCUUUUGCAUCCUUUUUUUUUUCCAAUCUUUCAAUUGAUCUUUUUUAAUUGGAGUUAGUGUAGCUGCAUUUUCAUGUUCAUCAAAACCAUUUUCAACCAAAUCCUAAACAUCUUGAGACAUAAAUAAUGUUUUCAUUUUUAUGCACCAAAAAUCAUAGUUUUCUCCUUCAAAUAAUGGAAUAGAAGAGGCAUGAAAACUCAUACUUGUAAGAUUUGUGUUGGCCAUUGAUCUACUCUUCAAAUCCUUGGUCCUUCUACUUCAAUGUUGAGGGUUUCUAGCUACAUAAUCUGCUUGCAAAACAACAGCAACACUUGCUCUUCAUUUUAUCUUUCCUUGUUUGCCUUCAAAUUUUGUUGCUUCAAUGACCGCCAAUUCAAUUAUAUUGUGGGUUUGGAUUUGGGUCUUCAAGUGAAAAGAAACCCUAGAAUCCUCCUUCUCCAAAAUAGUGGAUAUUUCUUAAAAUUCCAUACAUAAGAGACAUGUUGCAAUAGAUAAGAGGACUUGAAAAAGAGAGAUAGUAUAUGUUGGUGAGACACCCUGAAAUCUGGGAACAAAAAACUGGAAACAACAAGUUCUUUGAUACUAGUUCUUUUGAUUGAAAGGUGGGUUCAUGAAACGGGUGACUUUGAUACUAGUUCUUUUGGUUAUAGUUUCGACUUGAAAACAGAGGAUGGAUACUGAAAGAAAAUGGAAGAGUAACAGCCGGAAACAAAGAAGUAAAACAGUCCCCCAUAAAACAAAGUUCUUUUGGUUAUAGUUUUUCACUUCGCAUUUCUCUCUUGGAUUUUUUUAUUUUUUUAUUUUUGUUAUAGUUUGCAAGCUACAAAACCAGAUGUUAAGAAAUUUAACUUGAAUAAAUCUCUCCACAUGGGAGCAUAACAACCACUCAAAACAUAAAAAACAAAAAACUAAUUUUUAUAUAAAUGCAACCCAAUAGGCACCUUGUGUUACAUCCGUGCUGCUUGUGCAUGCAGCCGUAUUUGCAAUGAUAGCAAAUCUCUUAAUCUCUAUAGUUUGAGUUUGAUAUUUAGGAUUGGGAUUAUAAUUGAAUAAGAAUGAAGGUAACUAGAAAAGUAAAAUCCAAAUGAUGAGAGUGAGUUUGGAUUUCCAUGAGAUUCAAUUUGUCAUUCUUAUUCUUAUUCUCAUUUCUAGAAAACGGUCUAAAUGCAGUAAUAAAAAUGAUGUGUGGAAAAGUGGGUUUCAUGCAUAAAAAGAAAAUAAAAGAUAAAAACUCCUAAAAAUAAUUCAAAUUUUAUGUAUUUUCAAGUAAAAAAUACUUACGAUGAUCAAAUUUAGUACCUAUGUCAUAUCUAGAUGGUCAAAUUAAGAUAAUACUUUUGAUCAAAAGAUGCACAAAAUCCGAAUUAUUUUUAGGUAAUUAAUAUAUUAAACUUAAAUUUUACAAAUUCUUUGUACAAAAACAACCUUUUUUGCUUUAUCUGAUUCUAUUCUAUAUUCCAUCAUUUCAAACAUGGGGAAUGAUAAUAUUGUGAGUUAUAUGAACGUAUUAUUGGUUUUCAGUUUCGGUUCUGAAUUUUAUAGUGACAACUACAUGGGAACACAUAAGCAUAAUCAACACAAGGAUAAUAUUUGAAGGACACUCCGACAUCUAAUAGCAAUCACCAUAUAGAGUACAUGGACCCGGAUGGAAAUCAAUGGAUAAUAGCAUUCACCAGCACCUCAAGUUUGCAAGCUGGCUUCCUUCUACAUCAUGUGGAUGCAAUGAGGCAAUCAAAUUUUAUUACAUCACACGGAAAAACAGGAAGGGGAAAACAAAGAAAACAAAAUAAAUGAACACACGCAUGAAAUUAUUUCAGUCGCAAGCAACCUGCAUGCAUCAUAUGAAAAACAGAAGCAGAGGCUUAGUAGAGUGCGCUUAUGGCGUUCUCGUCAUGGCAGCACCCGAAAGUGAUGUACUUCUCCAUGAUCUGGAGGCACUCUGGGCACCUGAUCUUCUCUGGAAUCCUUCCAACUUCGCUCGGGAACUCAAAGCGGCAGCAGGGCUGAGAAUCGCUAUGAAGCUUGCUAUGGAAAUCCAUGCAAGCAAUAUCGAAGCCCUUUGGAGGCACGUCGUCUUUCCAUAAAUUGUACUCGGUAAAGGUGGGCAAAACAGUGCUGCUGUGGCCAUUGACGAACACAAAAGACCCCUUGCUCAGUACAGCCCAUCCUCCUUCUUUGUCAUAGCUGAGAAGUUUCUUGAUUUCCCUCAACAUGGAGUCAUCAUCGUCGCCCCUCCCUAGCUGGAUCUUGGAGAACAACAUGCUUUCCAAUCGGGUCCAGAAGAACCAAACCAUGGUGAGGUCUUGCCAGCAGUAGCUGAGAUUCUCCGUGGUGAUGCUUGUUAUGCAUUUCCGAACUUGCUCUCUCUUGUUGCUCUUUCCCACGUACACCAUCUCUAAGGGGAUCCGUGCAGCCGAUGCAACUGCCUUUGCUGUGGUUGUGAAUUUUCGGAUCCACUCCAUGUCAGUCCCUCCAUACAAGUAAAUGAAUUUUCCUUCUUUGACCUGAUGGAACAAAAACAUUCCCAGGGUAUUUUAAAAAUGUUCACGAUUGGUCUCAUAUUAGGGAAAAGUGAGUUCAUUCAUGCACAUCUAAAUAUGUAUUUAGAUUGGUAAAGGUUAAUUACCCAGUUCAGUACAGUUGGGUCAAUGCCAUCCACCAGCAGCUCAAGCCUCCAAGUCUCUUCCUUCCACAGAGCUUCCUCCCUCAAACUGGUGAACGGAAAGGCGGUACUCCCCCAUAUCCACAUCAUGUGGAUUGCAUUAGGGCUCACCACUCUUCCUUGUGGAUCUAGCACCACAAGGAUGGGCUUGUUCCGGAAGUGCCACACCUCCUUGAUGAACCUGAUGACUGCCUUAUCAAUCAGUGUAGGAGUGUAUACUGAAUACCAUGGCAUUGUGGCCUGCAGAGUCUCAAACCGAUCUUGCAUGGCAUCUGUCCACAUGACUGAGCGGUCCACAACUGGGAUCCACACAACUUCGUACUGACUCUCCAUCCUAGUCCCGUGGACCCGAGACUCAUUAUAGAUCUGUUCCAGAAUUGAAAGCUCGUCAUGGGAGAUGGAUAGGCCUGAUAUAAGCAGCAAAACAUUCUUCCUCCUCAGCACAUCUAUGUUAACCUGCGGCAUUAAAGUUAGAACUUUAGGUUAGUAGUAACGAAGGGGAAAAAGAAAAUGCACAUUAGAACUUUUAAGUCUUGGUAAUAAUUUUUUUUAUAUAUGACAGUUCCAUGGAAUAGUGCUACUGCCAAUGCAGUAAUGCAGUGAUGUGUUUGGAGAGUGAACCCUUCUCUUUGUAGAGCCUUCAAGCAGUGGCUGCACGUCAUCCUUGGGAGAAAUCAGUGCCCUGAGAAUCUUCAUGUUGUCAAUGUGAAUACUCUCAAAGAGAUUCAGAAGCAUUUGAAAAGUUUCAGCAUUCCACUUAUCAUCUGCAUCAAACAGCAAUCCCUUGUCAGAUUUAAAAUCCAUUUCAUUGGUAUUUACAUUAGCUGUGCAACACUUGCUUUCAUAAAUUUGGAAAGGGUUGGUGGUCUUACCUAUGUAUUGGUAACAAAGAGUAAGUUGCUUCUUCAGAAGGUCCAGUAUGCUAUUGAUCUUGUGAGCCAUGGUGGACAGUUCCCAUGCCUCAUUUGUAGCAGAUGUCCAGUACCUAAAAUCAUUGCAAUUGUCAUAAGUAAAAUGAUUGUUGCCUAACCAGCAUUCCCAAUGGAUUAAGUGGCAUAUCAUAUAAUUCUUCCACAAAAUCAGAGGCAUUUAUUUUUUGUCUUUGGAAAAUUAGCAAAUGGAAAAGAUAUUUAGUUGGCAAUACGUUGCUUUACUAAGGUUGAAAGAUUGAAGCACGAUAUAUCAGCAAAGACAAUAUAACAUACUCAUGGCCCAUGCUAGUGAGGGUUGUAAUCUGAGUUGCGCAAGCCACAACACUCCUGAUGGUCCAGUAAACAGCAGUGGGGAUAUGGGUCAUUGCUGUUGCUAAUGCUGGUACGUCCUGGCUUAUAUACAUGGACGGGAGCUCCUUGAACUCAAUAAUGCACCUGGUAAUUGCCACCAUAGCCCUGAUGAGAUUGUUAAGAGCAUCAAACCGUGGUUUCAGUUGACCAGAGUGCUCCAAGAUGAUGGGCACUUGCUUAAGGAUUGCCAUUGAUUUCGCAAGUUGGUUGGAUGAAUAGAUCUGAGCAAGGAGCCAGAAUUCACCAUAGUUCACAGCAAAAGCUGAUAGGGUUAGCACCAGCUUUGCUUCCCAUGAAUAGCUUGUUAACAGGUCGAAUAUAGAGAGUGUCGUUGCAUGAGCAUCACCUCCGCCCAAACUCUUGUAUGCUAUCUG